Molecule: long non-coding RNA, 58242 nt
Filed under: Brachypodium distachyon (stiff brome)
Lineage: Eukaryota; Viridiplantae; Streptophyta; Magnoliopsida; Poales; Poaceae
Description: long non-coding RNA (BDIS_LNC005756)
Rfam family: MIR5185 microRNA precursor family (bases 29683-29793)
Source: RNAcentral
UCCAGCACCCCUUGCACGGCAGGCGUCGGCCCGGCUUGCCGCGCCUGCUGGAGCUCCUUCCGGAGCCGCUGCAGCUCGGUGCGCUGCUCCUCUGCCUACCGCCGCUCCGCGCCCAGUUCCGCUACCACGCGGGCGUGGUGCUGCUGCGCGUCGUUGAAGAAAUCAACGUACAUCUGCUGUUGUUGCUGGAUGUUGUUGAUCACUUGGUGUCCCUGCUGGAACACGCUGGGAUCGAAAGUAAUCCGACCCCAUGUCCGCCCGGCGAGCUCCCCUGCUCCCGGGCUGAAGGCGGCUCCGGCGGAGGAGGAGGACCCCACCGCAAACGUCUGUGAUCCUGAGGGCACGUCGGGAUUUGAUGACGCGCCCCUGGCCUGGCCAAGCCCUGCUGCUCCUUGCAUGUCCAAAGGGGCGGGCUGGGGGCUCGGGGGCUUCUCCAGAGCACCGCCGCCUGCUCCGGCUGGCGGAGGCUGCUUCGUGUCACCUGCCACAGAUGGCGCCCCCUGCGCGGUGUCGCCUGCGGCUGCAGUCGCGGCCCUGGCAGGCGCCAUGGCCAAUUGCUGAAGGGUCCGACGGAGACAACCUCCGCCGGAGCGUCGUCAUCGACCUCGCCAGUGAGGUCGAUUACCCGCACCUUGAUGGGCGUGGGCACAGCCGGAACAUCCCCGGCAACUGCAAGAAGAGCACCUGCGUCAAGUAUGGGAGAUGGCGUGGAUGGGUAAAGGAAACGUUCGAACUCACACGUACCUGCCGCCGGGCCAGUGCCCUGUGAGCUCGAAUCGGGGACCCUAGAGUCCCCAGCGGCGGCAGUCGCCGACACAACCGCCGCAUCAGCGGCAUCCUGGUCGCCACCGCCCGAAGUCGGGCAGGGCUUCUUGGUCGGGGCUGCCGGCGAUGUGCUGGUUUGCCCCCUCUUCCUCGAAGAACUGGAAAAUACAAAAACAAGUUAAUCAGGCAUGCAAAUUUUUUACGAAAUCUGAGGUGUUCAGAACAACAUUGAACUCACCCCGCCGGUAUGAGCUUGAGCACCCUAUCCUCCAAGAAGCUCCUCCCCGGAGGGCUGCUUCGCGCGGGGGGAGCUGGCGGAGUCGCCGGGAUAGCCGGAGCAGCCGCUGCGGCCGCAUCGCUUCCGCCAGAGGCCCCAGCCCCCACGUCGCCGUGAGGCUCCUGAGGCUGCAGGCUGGCCUCCUGCCUGCCCGCCUGCUCCACCGCAGACCGCCUCACCAGUGGGACGUCGUCUUCCUCAUCGUCCUCCUCUGGCGCAACCCCGCUGCCUGCCGGGGGAGCGUUGUUGUCGUCGUCGUCGUCGUUGAGGUCUCCUCCGACACCCAGCGAGGAGUCGUCGGAGUCCGAGCCCUCUGCCCUGGCGGAGGCCUGGCCUUGGCCCCCCUUCCCCGAGUCGGCAGCUGGCUCCUGGCCCCUGCGGGGCCUGGGCGGCGGGGGGGAGGGUUGCGCCGAGGGGUCCUCCAUGAUCCCCCACUCGUCACAGAGUGGGAGAUCCCGGGCUCCCGGGUUCAGGAUCCCAGCGUGGAGCGAGUGCGCUCCAAGCGGGGGCAGCCGGUAGGCUUCGUCCUCGCCGGUGAUGCCCUUCACCCAGAAUUGCACUUCCUUCGGGAGGAGGUCGGUGCGCUGCAGCCGGGUCCGGUCGCCGUACCCGGUGUAAAUCCAUGCCGGAUGUGAGCGCCGCUGCAGGGGAGCCACGCGCCUCCCGAUGUGAAGUGGCACACCACAUCCGUGUCUGUGAGCCCGGCCUCAUGGAGCGCCUUAAUCUUGGCACAGAUUGGGGCCAGCUCCUCGUCCUUCUGGUCGCGGAGCGUCCAAUCGUCAGAGCCCUUCGGAGGCCUGAGGGGUUUCCCGUGGAACUCCUGGAGAUCGUCGGUGUGCACCCAGCACCAGUCGCGGCGCCACUCGUGCUCGAUCUUCUUCUUCCCUAGCUCGAUGAACUCGGAUUUGAUCCUGUCGCGGAAUCGGAACACCACUCCCGAGGACAGGGGAGCCUUUUUCUCCACCCUCGAGUAGUAGUAGUGGCGAAACAGAGCCACCGACGGCAUCACCCCCACGAACGCUUCACAAAGGUGUUGGAAGACAGGAAAUGUGAAGAACAACGUGGGCUGAAGCUGCGCCUUGAUGAGCCCGUAGGUCUCCAUGAUGGCUGAAAGGAAGAAAGAGUGCGGUGGCACAAACCCGGCUAGGAUCAAUCUCCCAAAGAUCCGGAAGUAUUGUGGGUCGGGCUCCGCACCGACGGGGAGAACCCACGUCGGCCCGUACUCGUUGUGCUUGGUGGCAAGCGCCAAGACCAGCUUGUCUACCCCCUCGCUGUUGUAUGCGGGGGGGGGGGGGGGGAAGAAGGCGAACUUAGCCUGCAUUUCCUCAUCCUUCCGGGCUCGGUCAGACAGCUCCUUCUUGCUGACCUUCUCACGCUUUUCCCCUUUCCUGAUGUUCCCCUUGGGACGGUUCUGGCCCUUGGAAGACAUCGGCGGAGGUGGAGAGGUGAUUUGGUUGGAGUUCGGGCGCGGAGAGCUUGGGAGGAGGCAAUGGCAGGAGCAAGAGGCAAUGGGGAGUGCCUGCCGCCAGCCUUGGGUAUUUAUCGGGGCUGGCGGGCUGCAACUGACACCCCCACGAUCGGCAAUAAAGUGCCCUAAAGAAUCGGAGAUUAAGAGGGGGGUGCGCGACGUGGCCUGAACUCUCUAGUGAUUAAGGGGGAUAAGGCACAAAAUCGUGCGCCCGACCGUUUCGCUCGGAGGAGUGGAGCCAUAAAUGCGGCCCGCGAGGCUGGGUGCCAGGGGGACUCCCCUUGGGACCCAAGCGUCGGAUAGGCAUAGCCCGGCAACCGACCGAGGAUAGCACUUGCUGGGAGCUUCAAGACUGCCGGCCCACGCCCGGGGGCUACUGUCGUACCAGUGGCCCACGGGGUCCCACUGAUACGGGACGCGUGGGUCGCCAGUGACGAGGCCCCGUCAGGAAGGCCUCCCGGUAAGCAACGGUUCCGGGAAGCCUACCUCAAGGAGACGGUACUUGGUGGAGGUGAAGCCAAGGGCAGAAUAUAAGAAGCCCCCGGGAAUCCCGGUCCCGGGAAGCAGAAGAAACGCCUCCUGGCAACUAGCCGGGUGCGCUAGCCAGGAAGGGGCACCCCAGCAACCCACGCUCGGGCAUGCAGGCGGGGCCAGCAAAACAGUGAAGAAAGGAUAAGACGGCGGGCGCAGUGCAUUUAAUGCACCGACAUGAGUCUUAUUAGCAAGCCUAGUCAUGCCUAGUCUUGCUUAGCAAGGCUAGGGCGACUACUCUAUGAGGCAUUUUUUCUACCGCGUACAGUGGACCGGGUGUUGCAUGGCGUCCGGCAUGGAUCAGCGGGAGUACUUUUCAUAUGCUGUGACACACGUCUAGGAGACGUGUCACGCUGCAUGCAUUGACACAUGUGGUAUCCCCUUGUUUAUAAAAGGAGGACCGAUGCCACCAGUCAAAGGGUUCUAUUCGGUUCCGAUCAGUCUUAGUUUGAGCCCUAGUUAGAACCAUCACCAAGUAGCUCCCUGGGAACUCCCGGGACACUCUAUAAGGCACGUUCGUAAUCUUGAAUACAGCAAAAAGCAGGACGUAGGGUGUUACACCUCCAGGUGGCCCGAACCUGGGUAAAUUUAAAUGUCCACACUUCGUGUCUAUCGUCACGCCGGCGAUCGCCGGAGCAAUCGCCUCGCCCUCCACCGAACCAAAAAAGGGGGUGCUCGGCAUCCCCGGUGCCGGAGACCCGUGCUCCGACACCCGGGGUAACCAAAGACUGAAUUGGGUUCCUAUUUAAUUACUUCCAGUACAACCACAUGCUAUAUGGGCUCUGGCGAGAAUAGAAUAUGUUGUAUGAACCUAGACCCGAAGAAUUGUAAUGAUGUAGCAGUGUAGGUGGAGCGUGAUUCCCUCGUGGUCUAGGGAAUUACUUCUGAAAAUCUCGUAAUCGACACCGUUGCUACUCUACCCUGAGGACAGCAAGGGAUUAACCCGUCGGUUUCUUGUGGAGAUUGUGUACAACCUCUCGAGAGUGUCAAAACUAAGUACUUAGUCGUGUCCCCGGUUAUGGACGAAUUAUGAGCAACUAGAUACGGAAACUAAGUAAGGUCUCACUCAUUCAAAUUUCUAAAUAAAAUGAAUGGUUUAAACUUGGAUUAGGAGCAUUGAUGUGUCUACUCAAUGUCCUUAGUUUUAAUUGGAGCAUCGGUGUGUCUACCCGAUGUCCAUUAGAUUUAUCUUACUAUAAAAUUCAAUUGUAGUAGGAUAAAGUUUAUUUUAAUUGCUUCUACGCCAAAAAGCCUAAACUCCAGAUAGCCAAUAUUGCAUAUAAUUGAUAGGAUCUGUUAUAAACUCCGGUGAACUUGCCAAUACAUUCAAUGUAUUGACCCUAGUGGCUGCAAUCUUUAAAAUUGUUGCAGGAAAUUCCGACGACGAGUAAGGUUACGUUGUUAGGUCACGAGCCUGCAUUCCAACAUGCGCUCUCUGUGGUGUUGCAAUGGCUCAAUUUUUCCUUCGCUUUCCGUUGAUGAAUAAUUUAUGUUAUUUUUCAUUGCUAACCCGAGUGGUUAUGCAAAGUUGUAAGUACUAUAAAGUUUCGAAUGAUGAUGAUGUAAUAAAUUACUUAACCUUUGUUUCUCGAUAUUACAUCUUGAACUGUGUGUGCUAGUGAGUCGAUCCAGGGACUAACACUAUAAGCACAGAGAUCAAAUCCUGUACGGGGACGGUCGCUUCAGAUGGUAUCAGAGCACUGUGUUGCCUGUAGGAACGUGACCCUAGCAUGGAAAAAGACUAAGACCAGCCCUUAGGACAUGUGCAUUUCAUAUUCAUUACUGCAUGCAUGUCUUGUUAUUAUUUUCUUUGCAAUCACAUGUCAUACCACCAGAAUAUUCAUGCAUUUUACCGAUUCAUCUAUUUUAUUUUUAUUUUAGUACGCCUGCAUGUCAUUCUGCAUAAAACACUCCAUGUUAUAUUCAAUUGCCACCAUGCAUUGCAAAUUUACAUACACUCAAUGCCAUUAAUUUCGUUCCACCAUAAUGUCAUAUUUAAUUACUUUCUAUGCAUCCACGCAUUGAUCAUGUCAUUAACAUUCUCUCUCUCUACUCUUUUUCUGUAGAUGGACAACCCACCACAGUUUGGCAACGUUCUGCCCUUCACCCACAUCCACUACCCAGCUGUUGGUGACGCGCAGCUGUUUAGCUCAGCCUUGGCGUCGCUGUGCACCUACCUCGACCUUGCGCCACCGCGUUUUUGGGGACGCGCUGAGCCGCCACACCCCCACGGUUGGCAGCCCAGGUGGGAGGUUGAGACGGUCGUCCAAGGCCGUGAGGUGGAGCCAGUGACGGCGGACAUCGCCUUCACCGAACGCUACCCCAGCUUCACGUCGGGCCUGCAAUUCUCCAUGCAGCGCGCCCUCGCGCACAUGUGCGAGGCCUACCGCGACUAGCUGCCACAUGACUCCUUCUUCCGUUAUUUCGAGAGGAGAGCCGUUGGAGGAGCCUCUGUGGGUUUUGAUGCCCUCGGAGACAACCCAACCGAGGUGGCUUUCCAUUUUGAGCAAAUGGAAAGCAACACAGUUGAGUUGGAGACUCAGCUGCACGACCAGAUGAUUCGUGCUGAUAUUGCUGAGGAGCAGGUUGGAGCACUCCUGGGAAACCGGGCCAACCUAGAGGCCACCAUACUCAAUAUGGGGGACGCUCUACAGCAGGUUCAGUACAAGAGGGACUUGUUGCAGCUGCACAUCGACCAGAUGCAGAACUUCCUCAACAACGCGCUCGCAGCCAACGUUCCAGCUCAGGAGAUAUCCGAGCCCGAGGGAGAGGGACCACCUCAAGAUGAGCCCUCAGAGGAGGAGAGUUUUCCAGAGGAAGACACACCCACCGCCAACACCCGCUCCAGGAGGGGAACCGAUGGAGCCACCACUUUUGUCGCACUCCCCUAGUCGAUUUGGAGACCACCACAUCUUACUUAGCAUAUAAUAAAAUUCGAGUACGUGUUGGUCGUUGACCAUACAAAACUUUGUUGUAUGGCGACGUAGACCGUUGGUUCUUCUUUUUAUUUUAUUUUCUUUUCCUUUUACUUAGGCCGUGGGCCAACAAUGAGUCUCUAUGUCGUUUAUUUGGAUCUUCAAAAGAAAUUUUAAUAAAGGAUUGUUGUUUGAUUGAUAUGCUUGUGUCUAUUUGUGGGGGGAUAGAUAUCCUUAGACCUCUUCCAUCUAUAUUUUUCUCAUCUUUGCUAUCCUAAAAUAGAUGCCGCCAAGACGCCAAACCCGCAACAAUACCAACAACAAUUUCAACAAUGCUGAAAAUAAUGCAGAGGGUAAUGAGAAUGCAGCAUUAGUGCAGCAAUUACUAGCAGCCCAGGCUCAGUUCAUCCAGUUGAUGACUCAGCAAAUGGCCAACAAUAAUCAGAACCACAACCAGAACCACAACAACCAGCACCACCCACCUCCCCAGGUUGAUAUGCUGACCCGUUUUCUGAGAUUGCGGCCACCCACUUUCUCGAGCUUCCCAGAACCGAUUGUGGCAGAUGACUGGCUCCGUUCAGUCAACAAAAUAUGGUUACUGUGAACUGCACUGACGAAGAGAAGGUCAGGUUUGCUGCCCAUUUACUGGAAGGACUAGCCGCAUCUUGGUGGGAAAAUUUUCAGAUUACCACCCCUAUCGAAGAUGUUGCUUGGGAGAUGUUCCAGGAGUCUUUUCGUACUGCCCACAUCUCAACGGGGGUACUUAGUCUGAAAAAGAAGGAAUUCCUGAAACUGAGGCAGGGGAACCGCACCGUGAUAGAAUUCAUUGAGGUGUUCAACAGCCUGUCCCGCUAUGCACCCGAUGAGGUGAAUACCGACGCCAAGCGCCGUGAGAGAUUUUUGGAUGGCCCGAAGGAUGAGCUAUCCAUCCAGUUGGCUGUCGCCUAUAACCCCACUUACCGGUCUUUGAUAGACAAGGCCAUUGUACUGGAGAAUAAACUGAACCAGAUGGAGAACCGUAAACGGAGACUUCAUCAAGGAAAUUCCCACUCCAGACCACACCAGAAAAUGUGCACCUCCUAUGAUGGAAAUGGGAGUUCUUCUGUGAACAAACAUGGCAGCCACAACCGUCAGCACCAUGGAGGAAGUGGCCAUCACCAUCGCCAUGGUAACAAUGGACAGAAUCAUCAGGGAGGAAAUGGGAACCGACCUCAGCACCAGCAUCAGAACCAGCUUUCUCGUCCGAGAAACCACAGUGACAGUGGUAAGGGCAACAACCAUGGCAAUGGAGGGAACGGGGGACAGAACCGCAACGGCAACCAUCCCAAGCGCGACCUCAGCCAGGUGGAGUGUUUCAAGUGCCACAAGCUGGGACACUACUCCAACGAUUGCUUAGAAAAAUUCAAGGAAGCUAGGAGCAAGCUGAACCCCUUUGCAAAGGGCAAAGUGAACCAUGUUGAUGUGGAGGAGAUCACCGAGGAACAAGGUAUCGUAAUCGGCACCUUCUGCAUUAAUUCGUUUGAGGCACUCAUACUGUUUGACUCUGGUGCAUCGCAUUCGUUCAUAUCAAGGGGUUUUGUGAUUAGAAAUGGGUUGCCAACUAGCACAUUAGUGAAUCCCAUGAAGGUGAAAUCACCAGGAGGAGAGAUUUUGGCUACCUAUGAGUGCCGCAUGUUGACUUUGGAAAUUGGUAAACACAAUUUUCUUACCAAUCUGAUAGUCAUAGGAUCAAAAGUGCUGGAUGUGAUCCUAGGAAUGAAUUGGUUAACCAAGUAUGAGGGAGUCAUAGACUGUGUCAAGAGAACCGUUGCUCUCACGACUCCGGAAAAGAAACGUAUACGUUUCAAGUCUACUUUCGAACCCUUGAGACCUAAGGUCAAUUCUCUUAAGGGGGUUAGCCUAGAAGAUGUGUCCAUAGUGAAGAAAUACCCAAAUGUAUUUCCAGAGUAAUUACCAGGCAUGCCACCAGAUCGUGAUGUGGAAUUCCUUAUCGAGUUGAUGCCAGGAAGUGGACCCAUAGCUAAGAGACCAUAUAAGAUGGCUGUGGAUGAGUUGAAGGAACUAAAGAAACAACUUGCUGAACAGUUGGAAAAAGGUUUCAUCCGCCCGAGUUCGUCACCUUGGGGAGCACCCGUACUGUUUGUGGAAAAGAAAGACAAGAGUCAGCGGAUGUGCAUCGAUUAUCGAUCGCUGAUGAGGUGACUAUAAAGAAUAAAUAUCCCUUACCUAUAAUCAAUGAUCUGUUCGAUCAAUUGGAGGGAGCAUGUGUAUUUUCCAAGAUCAACCUUCGAUCGGGAUAUUUUCAGUUGAAAAUACGAGGCAGAUAUUCCCAAGACGGCUUUCACCACUAGGUAUGGCCUAUAUGAAUACACAGCGAUGCCAUUUGGUUUGACCAAUGCUCUAGCCUACUUCAUGAAUAUGAUGAACAAGGCAUUCAUGAAAUAUUUGGACAAGUUCGUCUUGAUCUUUAUCGACGAUAUUUUGAUCUACUCCAAGAGCGAGGAACAUGAGCAACACCUGCGUUUGAUUUUGGAGAAACUCCGAGAGCACAAGCUGUACGCCAAAUUCAGCAAGUGCGAGUUUUGGUUGUCAGAAGUCAGUUUCCUUGGACAUAUCGUGUCAGGAGCAGGAGUCGCUGUCGACCUAACUAAAGUGGCAGCAGUAACAGAUUGGGAGGCACCCAAAAACGUCGGAGAUGUCCGCAACUUCCUAGGACUUGCCGGCUACUAUCGCAGAUUCAUUGAGAAUUUUUCCAAGAUAGCGAAACCCAUGACCGAACUGUUGAAGAAGGAAAAGAAAUUUGAAUGGUCUGAAAAAUGUGAAGAGAGUUUCCAAGAGCUGAAAAAGAGAUUAGUGCCAGCACCCAUCCUUGUCUUACCCAAUCUGCAGGAAGACUUUCAAGUAUACUGCGACGCCUCGCAUCAAGGUUUAGGAGGUGUUCUAAUGCAAGGGGGAAGAGUUGUAGCGUAUGCUUCGCGACAACUAAAGAAUCAUGAGGGAAAUUACCCCACGCAUGAUUUGGAGUUAGCAUCAGUAGUACACCCAGUCAAGACCUGGAGACACUAUCUCAUGGGAAAACAUUGCGAUUUAUUCACCGAUCAGAAAACGCCUAAAAUACAUAUUUACUCAGAAUGAGUUGAAUUUGAGACAGAGGAGAUGGCUAGAACUGAUCAAUGACUACGAUCUAAAUCUUCAGUACCAUCUGGCAAAGCUAACGUUGUGGCAGAUGCUUUGAGACGCAAGGGCUACUUGAAUGGAUUGUCAGCUGGAGAGUUACCUCCGGAGUUGUGCAAGCAAUUCAAGAAAUUGAGGCUGGAAAUUGUGCCAGAAGGUUAUCUCGCGAACCUGGAAGUGCAACCCACUCUGUUGGACAGAAUCAAAGAAGCCUAGAAAAGUGACUCCGAGAUCGAUGAGAUAAAAGGGAACAUGUUAUUUGGGAAAGCAAAAGGUUUUCGAGAGGAUGACCAAGGGCUUAUAUGGUUUGAAAAACGUGUCUGUGUACCACAGAACCCAGAGAUCAGAAAACUGAUACUUCAGGAAGCCCACGAUUCACCGUACUCCAUCCAUCUAGGAAAUACCAAGACGUACAUGGAUUUGAAUGAAAAUUUUGGUGGACCGGAUUAAAGCGGGACAUCGUAGAGUACAUAGCGUUGUGCGAUGUAUGCAACAAGGUUAAGGCUGAAUAUCAGAAACCAGCAGGAUUGCUACAACCAUUACCUGUACCAGAUUGGAAAUGGGAUAAGAUAGGUAUGGAUUUCAUCACCGGACUGCCAAGGACCAGAUCAGGUUAUGACUCCAUAUGGGUGGUAGUUGAUCGUUUGACCAAGGUUGCACAUUUCAUACCGGUGAAGACCACAUAUACAAAUGCCCAAUUAGCUAAAAGCAACAUGUCCAGAAUCGUGUGUUUACACGGAGUACCGAAGGAAAUAGUGUCAGACAGGGGUACCCAAUUUACCUCGAGGUUUUGGGGCUAGCUACAUGAGUCAUUGGGAACGAGACUGGAGUUCAGUACAGCUUUUCAUCCAUAGACUGACGGACAAACCGAGAGGGUUAAUCAAAUCCUUGAGGACAUGUUGAGAGCUUGCGCUCUGGAUUAUGGUUCCAGUUGGGAUGAUAAUUUACACCUAUGCCGAGUUCUCGUACAAUAACAGUUUCCAGGCAAGCAUUGGAAUGUCACCGUUUGAGGCACUGUAUGGGAAGAAAUGCAGGACACCAUUGUUAUGGGAUGGGGUAGGAGACCGCACUCUAUUCGGUCCUGAUCAGAUAAAGGACACCGAAGUAAAAGUCAGACUGAUUCGAGACAGGCUGAAAGUAGCACAGUCGAGGCAGAAGAGUUAUGCAGACUCAAAGCAUAGGGAGGUUCCCUACGAGGUUGGUGAUAGGGCGUAUCUCGGAGUUUCACCGAUACGCGGAGUGAAGAGGUUCGGAAUCAAAGAAAAAUUAGCCCCACGAUUCAUUGGACCUGUCAAACCAGUGUCACCCGGGGUACCACCGCUGCGCGACGCGUGGGCCCCGUUCCCGAGUCCCCGGGAAGGUCCCAUCCCGGGGAGCGUCUAUGAGCAGCCCGGCAAGCUACCGGCCCGGAAGGGUCUAACGGGGCUUCGGGGAAUAUUCCUGCCUGGGCACCUCCCGAGAAGCUGCUUCCCGGGGGGCGGGGGUUCCCGGGCGCGCUGGGGCCAGGCGCUUCCCGGGGUCGACUUGCCGGGGCAGAGGGUUCCCGGGCGCACGCGCCCGCCACAAGCGUGGGGCCCAGUGGCCAGAUCAACAGCGCCACGAGGACGCGUGGCGGGCGUGGGGUGCGCGGCCCCACCAGGGCAAGGAGUAAGGCGCACGGCUCAGUAAAUGAGCCAAUCGACGGGUUGUUACCCGUCCGAUCAAGGGAACAGUGGUUGUCCAAUCCUACCCUAGAGGUUUUAGACCCCUAGCGGCGGAGGUUGCAUCCAUGCGCGCCACCAGCUCACCGAGAGAGAGCUGUAUGCCUCUCCGCUCGACAUUUGUAGCCCAUGCACCGUGGCACCUGUGGCAUCCCCUUGAGUAUAAAAGGAGGACCUCCGCCAACGGUCAAAGGGUUCCGUCGGGUUCGGUUCGGAUCGGUUCGUCCGGAUUCAUACUAGCAUUAGCCGAGAAUAGCAAGGAGCACUUAGCUGAAAAGGGAGAGAGCGUCCCGGGACUCCCCCCUGGGAAACUUAUAAAACACUUGGUUUCGGUGACAAUACAGGCUCAGACAAGCAGGACGUAGGGUUUUACACCUCCGGGUGGCCCGAACCUGGGUAAAAACGCUCGUGCGUGUGUUCUUUGCUUGCAUGCACCUUGGGUGCACCUCUCUUCGGACCACGUAUGCCAUCGGCCACGCCGGUGAUUGCCGGAGCGAUCCCCGACGCCCCUGCCGAACCAAAAAGGGGGUGUGCCAGCACGCCCCCGGUGUCGGAGCCCCGUGCGACGACAGGACCGUACCGAGUCUUAUCACGCCAGGGAGAAGUGGCAUAUAAGUUGGACCUACCAGAAACUUUGGAAAGCGUCCAUAACGUGUUCCACAUAUCGCAACUGAAGAAAUGUCACCCCGACAUGGCCGACACCCCGUUGAGAGAUACUGUUCCGCUUGAGGAGGCCCAGUUGCAGAGUGGCCUCAACUAUGAGAAAAAACCUAUCCGGAUUUUGGAUACCGCAGAAAGGCAUACCCGCUCCAAGGCUAUCAAGUUCUGCAAAGUGCAAUGGGAUCAUCACACCGAGGAGGAAGCCACUUGGCAACGCGAAGACGAUCUUCAAGAAGACCACCCACACCUCUUUGCUAGCCAACCAGAAUCUCGGGGACGAGAUUCAUCUUAAGGGGUUAGGUCCGUAACAUCCCAAUUUUUCUCAAACUUUGCAUCAUGCAUUUGCACUCAUGAGCAUCAUACCAUUUAUGCACUUUGAGCACCUUUAAACCAAAGAUUUAAAUUUUAAAACCUUUUAUUAAGCCUUUUACCGUUUUAAAUUUUUACUUUGCAUCUUUUUGGAAUUUUUCAACCCAUGGGGUUGAAAAAUUAGAAAGGGGUUUUAUGCAAUAAGAUGAGCUACCCCAUAAUUUCUGGGAUUUAUUUUGGAGUUGAAAAACUACUUUGUUUCUAAAUAUUAUUGCACUAGAGGCAAUUAUAUAAGCAAAACUAUUUUUAAUAAUUUACUUUUGGAAGAAAUCAAGUCCCAAAUGCUAUGGCAUUAAAGGAUAUGAUUUUACAAAUUUUCUGGAAUUUAUUUGAGUCCAUUUGGAGUUCAAAAUCAAAAGUUAUAAAGGAAAAACGGAAAAAGAAAAGAACAAAAAAAGGGAAACGGACCGGCCCAGCCAACUUGGGCCGAACUGGCCCGGUCAACCCCCCGCAUGCGCAGCCCAGCCGCCGCCCUUGGCCAAUGGCCCCUAACAGGUAGGGCCCACCUGUCAGUCGUCUCCUUCCUCUGGCCGCGAAUCUAGCGCCCGGCCGCCAUUACACCCGCCUUCAAUUCGCAAUUUAGGGCGCCAUCUUAAAGCUCUCUCUCGCGUCACUAUAAAGAGCCCCCCCCCUCCUCUCUCAUUUCCCCCGCACCCCGUCGCUCCACUCACGCCCACGCCGCCGCAAUUACUCGCCGGAAAAGCUUUGGGCGCCGCCGCUUUUUCCGUCGACGCCGGUGACAGAGAGGGUAAGACCCGUCGGGACUUACUCCUUCUUCUCGUCAGUGCGCAACUUUUGACGCGCUCCGUUCUUUCUUUUGUUCUUUGAAGCUCCCCGUCGCCGCCGCCACUCACCGUCGUCCUAGGCGCCGUCUUCGUCCUCGUCUCGCCAUGCCAACCACGUCAUGACCCCCGCCUCGUCGCGCCGCCCAAGCCGCCGGUCUUCCUCGAGCCCGAAGGCCAAUGGAAUGCCCGCACGCCGCCCCGCCGAACCGCGUCGCUGCUGGAGCUCCCGCCGGAACCCUAGGCUCACCGGAGGUCAGCCCGACGCUCCUUGGCCGUUGGAUCUCAGCCAACGGCCGAGGUUAGAUCACUUAAUCGAAGGGGUAUCCCUUGAUCUCAGCCGUCCAUCAUGUUUUAAGUGAGAUCGGACAGCCAUCUUUUAUUUGGACCCCGAACCGGUACGGACAAAUCACGUGACGACACGUGUCAUGUACAUAAAAUGUAAAAUUGUUCCCGGACGAAAUAAAUGGUAAAAUUGUAGAAAAACCCCUGGAACUUCAAACACUCAUAAGUUUUGAACCGUUUGGCCAAAUUUGAUGAACUGCACCUUUUUGGAAUCCACAUGGUAUGUAGAAUCUUUUGGCACAAUUAGUUUUCAGUUUUGGACAACUGAAACAGGACCAAGUGACAGAAUGCUUAACUAUGAACGUUAUCACUUAAAAAUUGGCUUAAAACUAUUUUGGACGAUUUAUCCACUCAAAAAAUUUCUUUGAUGCACCCUCUAUCCAGUGGAACCAGAGGAAAAAUUGUUCUUGUAUAAAAAAAAUGGAUGUAUCAGAAAAGUUAGAUUAAUCUAGCAUAAAAUGGAUUAAACUAGCUUUGUUUAAUGAUUUCCUUUUCUCUACACCAUGAACAUGAUCCUAACUUUUCAUCACAUAGAUUUAAAUCAUAUUUGUGACAAAAACCAAAUUUAGGAUUGCAUCAUGUGCAUGGCAUCAUGGCAUAUUUUAUUUGAUUGCGUGUAUGUCUUGUAUGGUUGUUUAUUUUGGCUAUACAUUUGAUUGUUAGAUUGUUCGGAGUGCGAACCCUGUCUUUGCGAAGAGUGCGAGAACAACAACAAUUUUGGACAAGGCAAGUUUUCAUCUUGAUCAUGAAUCACCUACUAUCGCACUUAUUUUAAUCCCUUAUGCAUUAGCGUUGUUUGUAGAAUUGCAUUAGGAUUAAAUUAUCGUAUGAAUGCUAGCUAUAUUUUCCUAGUAGAAUAGAUUUUCCUCGCCGUCAUAUCCCCACCAAUAUCCAUCAUUAGUAGUUAUGCUUAGCCGUGCUAUGUAAAUAUGCGUGGGAGGGAACCACUCUCAUUCUAGAAAUAUUGUCGAUGUAAAUGUUAUUUUGAAGUAUGGCUAAAAUCAACUACUAAUGAACCAUCCUGGGUGGGCGGCUUUGAGCAUUAUGGUUGUACGCGACGUCAGGUCCAUUUCUAUGGGACCCGCUGAGUCGUCUCUCCGUGGAUUCGGGAGCGACCAUGGUCGUCUCUUCCGUGAAUUCGGGGAGUGCCUGCGUCGCAAAUGUGGAAUGCCACCCGGGGUAACCAGAGACUGAAUUGGGUUCCUAUUUAAUUGCUUCCAGUACAACCACAUGCUAUAUGGGCUCUGGCGAGAAUAGAGUAUGUUGUAUGAACCUAUACCCGAAGAAUUGUAAUGAUGUAGCAGCGUAGGUGGAGCGUGAUUCCCUCAUGAUCUAGGGAAUUACUUCUGAAAAUCUCGUAAUCGACGCCGUUGCUACUCUACCCUAAGGACAGCAAGGGAUUAACCCGUCGGUUUCUUGUGGGGAAUGUGUACAACCUCUCGAGAGUGUCAAAACUAAAUGCUUAACCGUGUCCCCGAUUAUGGACGAAUUAUGAGCAACUAGAUACGGAAACUAAGUAAGGUCUCACUCAUUCAAAUUUCUAAAUAAAAUGAAUGGUUUAAACUUGGGUUAGGAGCAUUGAUGUGUCUACUCAAUGUCCUCAGUUUUAAUAGGAGCAUCGGUGUGUCUACCCGAUGUCCAUUAGAUUUAUCUUACUGUAAAAUUCAAUCGUAGUGGGAUAAAGUUUAUUUUAAUUGCUUCUACGCCAAAAAGCCUAAACUCCAGAUAGCCAAUAUUGCAUAUAAUUGAUAGGAUCUGUUAUAAACUCCGGUAACUUGCCAAUACAUUCAAUGUAUUGACCCUAGUGGCUGCAACCUUUAAAAUUGUUGCAGGGAAUUCCGACGACGAGUAAGGUUACGUUGUUGGGUCACGAGCCUGCAUUCCAACAUGCGCUCUCUGUGGUGUUGCAAUGGCUCAAUUUUUCCUUUGCUUUCCACUGAUGAAUAAUUUAUGUUAUUUUUCAAUGCUAACUCGAGUGGUUAUGCAAAGUUGUAAGUACUCUAAAGUUCUGGAUGAUGACGAUGUAAUAAAUUACUUGACCUUUGUUUCUCGAUAUUACAUCUUGAACUGUGUGUGCUAGUCAGUCAAUCCAGGGACUAGCACUAUAAGCACAGAGAUCAAACCCUAUACGGGGGCGGUCGCUUCAUGCAGGUACUCCGAAAACGCAUUUCGUCGGGUUAAGCUUGAUCCGAUAGUUGUCAAGAUUCUGGAAUGUCUCUCGAAUAUCCUCUAAUAGAAUAUCUUCAGUCUUUGUCUUGCUAACGAUAUCAUUGAUGUAGACUUGAACAUUUCUGCCAGCUGCGCCCAAGACAUGCUUGCAUGCGGCGUUGAUACGUAGCGCCUGUGUUUUUCAGUCCGAAAAGCAUAGUUGUGUGGCAGAAAACUCCAUAAGGUGUUAUGAAUGCUGUCUUGUCUUCAUCCUCCUUCUUCAGUCAAAUCUGAUAGUAUCCAGAAUAUGCAUCAAGGAAUGACAAUCGAGCACAUCCCGCAGUCGAGUCGACGAUCUGGUCAAUUCGAGGCAGGGGAAAAUGAUCUUUCGAGCAAUGUUUGUUCAGUGAGGUGAAGUCGACGCACAUGCGCAACACUUUCGUGUUCUUCUUCGGGACAAGCACGGGGUUCGCCACCCAGGUAGCUUGUUUGAUUUCCCAGAUAAACUUUGCGUCGAGCAAACGAUUGACCUCUUCACCAAUGGCCUUCCGCUUGGGUUCCGAAAAGCGUCGCAUCGGUUGCCUGAUGGGCUUGGCAUGCUCGUCCACAUGCAAAGAGUGCUCCGCAAGUUCCUUGGGAAUACCCGGCAUAUCAGAUGGUACCUAGGCGAAAAUUUCCAAUUCUCGUGCAGGAACUCGACGAGCGCACUUUCCUAUGCGGGAGGAAGGCUCGAGGACACCAGCACUAUUUUAUUGGGAUCCAUCGGGUGUACCUGAUGCUUUGUUGUGUCACUCUUCAUGCUGAACUCUAUCUUUGGUGGCGCUUUCUUCGUCAUGGGAAGUACGUCAUUGUCCGUCGUUGCCUUCAAAGAGGCGAGUUCCGUCUGCAUGCCGAAUGAUUCAACAAGUUUAUGGAAUUCUCUGUCGCAAUUGUCCGAUCUUGUAAAGCUUACUCGGACAGUGAUUAUGCCGUAGGGUCCAGACAUUUUCAUCAUGAGAUAUGCAUAAUGUGGGAUGGCCAUGAAUCUGGCGAGUGCCGGCCGGCCCAGAAGCACAUGGUAUUGCGAUUUCCAGUCGAGUACUUCAAAAUCGAUCCGUUCUUUGCAAAAUUUGGCGGGGUUGCCAAAGACAACAUCGAGGCUAACCCGGCCCAAUGGCACUGUCGGUUUUCCUGGAACAAUUCCAUGAAAAGAUGUGUCUUUGGAGAUUCGUUAAUGAUAUGUUCAUCGCCCUUAGUGUAUCCGCAAAUAUGAUGUUAAUGCCACUGCCUUCAUCUAUGAACACCUUGCUCAUCUCGUAGCCCCCCACCUGAGCAUCGAGGACUAAUGCUGACAGUCCUGGACUCGGAAUCUGAGGUGGGUGAUCCGCACGCGAGAAUGAAAUGGCGACCACGGACCAGUCGAGGUACUCUAGGUGGCGGGUGGUGCGGCCACAGCCAGAUGAACUUGCCGGGUGAUAACUUUUUUAUGUCGGUUGGAUGGCCUUCCUUUCUGUAUCAUGCAGAUAUUUCCCAAAGGCGCUGGAUACGCAUCAGUUGUAGCUGGUGGUUCUGAUGGCCGUGACGCGGGCUGUGUGUGUUGCACGGAUCCGGCGAAAUUUGGUGGCGGCGCAUUGUGCACUAUCAUCCCAGCUCGAGUGGCGUGUGGCAGAGCCAAAGUAUUGGGAUUAUUCCUCGUUGAUUGCUGACCUGACCCCCGAGGGUAAUCCCUGCUUGCCGUUGAGUUCUAAAACUGGCUGCAUGUGUCCUGCAACUCGUGGAAACGACGGUACUCGAACAGUGUGUGGUCGCACCUUAUAUUUCCAUCAACAUCCCUGGUACCAUGGAAGGGGCAGGGAGAUGACAACUGUUGCGUCAACGACAAAGCAGGUUGCCCAUCUCGCCGCAACCUCCGAGGCUACCACUGCUGGUUCUUGCUGCUGUCUCGGUAGUUACCACAGUUACUUCUAUUCCGAUGUCCUUCAUGAUUUCCUUCACCUCGACCACCGCCAUUACGGUCAAACUCUUCCGCUACGAACUCAUGGGCGUUAGGCUCCCACUCCUUUCGCUUGUUUCGUCUCUCGGUGUUGCGACCGUGUCCUCGUUCGGCUUCUUCAUCGUCGGGUAGUGCAUUGUGCUCAUUUCGAAUUGAAUCUUCUCCAUCAGAUCUGCAACUGUUUUUGGCCUGCUCCGUCCCAGUUCUUCCUUAAAAGUGACACGCUUCAACCCCCGUUUGAAGGCGUCGACUGCGCUUUCAUCUGAUAUUUCUUCUGCUGCAUUUUUUAGGGAUGUCCAUUGUUGUAUGUACGAUCGAAUGGACUCACUCGACCUCUGAGUGCAUGCUCAAAGUUCUUCCAAUGAAACUGGCCUUUUAUAAGUUGCCCGAAAUGUGCGGGUGAAAACUUGGUAGAGCUCGUCCCACGAGCCUAUUUCGCCUUCUGGCAGACUAGCAAGCCAUGUGCGAGCGUGCCCCUUGAGCUGCAAUUGUAAACACUGCAUGGAUGUGUUCUUCGUUCCUCCCUUCAGUUGUACCAUUGUGAGGUAAUCUUCUAACCAAGCUCUCGGCUCCUGGGAGCCGUCAUACUUGAUUGCUCUCGACGAUACUGAAACAUUAUCGGGCAUAUUCGAAUUGCGAACGCGACGGCUAAAGCAGACCGCGUCGCAAGGUUCAUCCUCUUCCUCUGUGAUGCAGCCAGCACGGGCUGACCACUCGCGAUCGAUUCUCUGUUGUGUAAUGAUAUCACGAGCAUCUCCUAGUACGGGGGUGUUGCGGCGGCGAUUAGGCAGUUCUUCCAGUCCCCGUCGUGGAGGAGUCGUGCGAUUGUUUUGCCGUGGGGAGCCGCCAUCCCUAUGCCGUCGGGGCUCCAUCUGGUUUGAGUUGGGGCCCAUGAGGGCAUUCCCGAUGAGGCCCAAGCCGGCCAAGACCUGCUUGUGGAUUGCCGCCUUCGGGCCAUCAUCCGGUGGCAUGGUGGAUAGGAGGUAUGUGUUUGCAGCGACCACAGCUCCUUGUGGCGUCCUGGGAAACAGCUCUCCCUAGGUAUUGACUGUCAUCAGUUCAUCGUCCAGACUGCGUGUCAUGCCGAUGCGAUCUUGCUUGGGGAUAUUGUUCAACCGAGCUUGAUAGUGCGGCGCUCUGUAUCUGGGGGUGCUCCGGGAGCAGGCACUGUGACUCUGUGCUGAGAGCUGUCUGCGAGCACUCGAAGCGUAGGCGACUUCUCUCUGCCAUUGGAGCUCUGCCUGCUCCUCUCGCAGUCGAGCAUGCGUAGUGUCUAGCGCAUGGUGGUAUGCCAUCAUCUAGUUGCGCGUGGCAUCUGCUGGUAAAGGGUUGGUGCCAUUAAGGGUGGCCUCGACCCGAGCUUCUUCUUCCGGCGUGAGAAUGAUCGUUGGGCGAUCAUUGGUCACCUGCCUCGGCGAAGAUGGUUCUGCCGGCGCGGUGUCCGUCUCCACUGCUCUCGCCUACUUUCGCCGCGAAGACUUGUGCCAAGGUCAUGCGAGGGAUCGCAGUUGCAUCAGUGGGAUUGAUUGCUACACUCGAACAGGUACUGACGAUGUAAGGAGUGGGAUCUUCAGCGAACACCGAGUGAUGCGAAUCGUACUCGGUGCAAAAAAAUUGGGCCAAAAUUGGCCCUGUUUCACCCAGCGAAAGCAUCGGGGGUGAAGGAUCAGUCGAUGACGCCACCAGAGAAUCGCAGAUCUGUCCUGUCGGUGACAGAUCCGUGAAACUGAUGAUUCCUUCGCGGCUGACUCGGAGGUCAAAACCUCCGAACGACAGCUCCAGAAGACCGCAAAGGUUGCGGAAAGCUGAGCGCAGUGCCGGCGGAUGAGCUGAGAAAUUCAAGGACCCGAAGCGGAUCGGUUCCUCCAUGGUUGAUGCGUUGUGGAUUGAGAACGGCAUGGUCAAGAAGAUCGUAGAUCUGAUGCACUUCUUCCCCACGGUCGGCGCCAAUGUCAAGGUGCUACCUCGGCAAUACCCUGAUUCGAGUUUUCGACUGAGGGAGAGCAGGGGGUGCACCAGCGAUCUCGUAGACUAACAAGGACUAGGGAAGUCGCAAGGUUUACCCAGGUUCAGGGCCCUCGGAAGGUAAUACCCCUACGUCCUGCUUUUGGUGUAUUGUAUUGAUCGGGAUUACAGAGAAGCUAUGAAGCUAUGGUGUGCAGAUGAAUCUGGCGUAUGAAUAGAGGUUACCCAUUCCCGACUCCCCCUCCUAGCCUUAUAUACUGGCGGCUAGGUCUCGGGCGUGAUAAUCGGGAAGGUUACAAUCAAAUCAGUUUAUUCUGGUACGAAAAGAUUAUGUUCCUUGGCUUGAGCCACACUUUGAGGGACUCGACCUGCAUAUACUUGAUGGACCUUCGAGUGGACCCCAUGUUGGGGUGUAUCAGGUAUAUGAAGGUUGAGAACUCGAAGGGUCAUUCCCUCAUCACCAGGGCUAGUGAAGAUUAACGUGGAUGCGAGUAUCUCCCAAUCGGGGCAAACUGGAGCUGUGGCGGUCAUUUGCCGUGAUGAGAAGGGCAUCUAUCUCGGGGCGUCCUCGGUCACCAUUGAGGGUCUCACUUUGCUUGAGAUCCUCGAAGCUAUUGCUUGCAAUGAAGCUCUCUCCCUAGCAUGUGAUCUUUACAAGAGGAAGAUCCAAGUUGCUUCAGGUUGUCUGAAUGCCAUGAAGAACUUGAAGGCGGACAACCUCUGUGACUAUAGUGCAAUUUGCCGGGAAUUCAAUGCUCGGAAGGCGAGCUUCGACGUUUUGCUGCUAGGUCAUGAGAAGAGGGACUCUAAUAUUGAUGCUCACAAUCUCUCUAAGGCUGAGUCUACCUUGCCAGUGGGGCGCCGCUUGUGGCUGUCGAAUACCCCUGAAAUCACUUGUAUCCCAACUCUUGUGUUAAGCUAAUAAAAUACGGGUUUAUCGCUAAAAAAAAACUUUACCGUCGAUUUUUCUCCUAAAAAAACUCUACCAUCGAUUAUUGAUGAGAUGUAAAAUUAAGGCCGGACUUAUCAACUUCAUCGGCUCAACAGAUUGUCGCCGGUGGCAGCAUGUUUGUGCAUCACGUUGGUGAACAGGUGGCCGCCGCUGUACAGUGAUGACACUAUGCUCACGUGAUCCAAGGUUGCAUUCAUAUGGAUCAACCAAGCAACAAUGCAAAAAGCCUACUGGUCCUGCUCCUAUAAUAGUCUAGGCCUUGGGCAAAUCAAUGGACUCAUUAGUUAUUUGGGCAGGCCAAUUUAUCAGAUAAUCCUAAUUGAAGACAUCAGAUAAUUUGCAAAAAAUGCCAGAUAAUCUGUCUCCGCUGGAUAUUGGCAAUACCAUAUCCGCUACCAUAUACGUUGGAUAUUUGGAUGACCAAUAUCCAUAUAUGCAUCCUUAUCAGGCGGAUUCCUAAAAUUGCAUACCGUAUCCUCAAAAACGGAUGCGGAUGCGGCACGGAGAAUAUGCCUUGAAAAGUCGAAACAUGAAAUUCAAACAUGAUGGAAGCCGGCGAUUAAGAAUAUGUCUUGGUUUGUUGAAAAAUAGCAAUGUAUACUUGAGAGUAUAUUAGAAUAUUCUUGAUAAUUGGGGAUUGUUGAAAAUUAGCAAUACAUAUUUGAGAAGUUUUUAGGAUACCUCGAACAAGUAGAGAAGUAAAUAUAUGCAAAGGAGUCUUUCAGUAAAUGUUUGAAAAGAUUAGAAUAUUCUACAAGUUUUGAGAGGUUGCAUGAGAGUACUAUAACCACACAAAAGAUCCUAAAAUAACUUCAUGAAUAAAUGAGAAUUAUGUAGGAUUGCAAUCGUUUAAAUAGGGUGUUUUCUCCUCCCAUGAGAGUACUAUAACCACACAAAAGAAUAGAGAACCACCAUGAUAGGAGUCGUGAGCUAUCAUAAUUCAGUAGUAUGGUUGUGUAGCAAUAGGUUAGCCAAAAAAAAUAUUGUAUCAAAAUUAUGAAAUUAAAUUUUGACUUCAUUUUGAAUAAGUGUGAUAUAUCAAUUAGUGCAAAUGUGUAUUAGGAUGUUAAAGUCUGCGAAAUCUCUACACUAUUAAUAUAUCUGACAUGAUUAACAUAAAUACAUUUAUGAUGACACAAAGUGAGAUGAAUGUCAGCAUUCGAUGUUGCCUCUGCCGAUGUGGCGUUGCGACAAUGAAAUCAAAUGCCAACCCGGGUGAUGACACACGCAAUUACAGUAGUAUUUGGUACCUAUAGAUCAACAAGGAAAACACAAACAAAAAAACAUGAAUUUUCAUCGAUAACUAAACCAAAACACAUAACGAGAGUGGAAUUUUGUUACUGCUUGCCAUGAUGGAAAAAAAAUCCAAUGAUGUGAUAGCAGGGUACGCGGUCCGAAUGACGUUCUUGGACGCGAACGCGAGUAAGACAAACAUGUUUUUGUCGUUCUUGAUCUUUCUCAUGGUGAGCUGAACAGUUACACGUUAUGUCAGCAUAAUGUAUAUGAGUUUUUGAUUGCACCCAAAUAAAAAUUAGAAGUUACCAAGUUUUGUAUUGGAGACAUGUACAUAAAGAGUUCAGAGCCGGCAACAAGUAAUCCGAACAUCAUGUUACGAGAAUUAACGUGUUAUGGCCUGGCUGGAAUCAAGUAAACAUAAGUACAACAAGAACACCAGAAGAAAAAAACUUCACUGCUACCCGAACGGAGGCGACAGGAGAAGCGUGACCUGGGUGGGUGGAAUAUUUUUUCAGCCAUAUCAUACCCGAUUUGGGUCGCCUGGAGUGCAGCCCACCCAAUACCCUUAGUCUUUCCAAGCACGGGAGGGAUCAUGAGUCAGAGCGCGAGAGAGAAGCGAGGUCGACCUCAGCUACCAUGGGAGCCGCGUCCUCAUCGAAGACGUCGGUCGUGAGGAUGAGCUUGGCGCUGCUGCAUGGGCCAUAACAAUUUGUCACUUACAUGGCCGUAGCAAUUUGUCGAACACCAGAUGGGCACCCCAAAGGUGAAGUUCGGGGUCCAAUCAAGCAGGGCAACCGUAAACAAUGAAGAUACAACCACUUUUGUGGACGACGAGACCGUGGUUGAACACAUUAGGCAGUAGCCUAAUGACCGCGUCGCCCGGCGUCAAGUGCCUAGAUAUUUUUUAAUGCAGAUGAAAAACCUAAAUGCUGGAACCGAUCAAACUAAAAAAAGAUUGUAUGCUAGAAUCGAUCGAACUAAAAAAUAACUGGAUGAUGAUGCUGCAAAUCUGCAAUCGAUUGACCGUGGAACUCGAUGACGACACACAAGAAGACCGAAGGGACGGCCCAACACCAAGCGCAUAUGUAUAGUAGAAUUAACACCAAACCAUCGCCGGCAGGUGCUGGAGUCCGUCCUCCCGUUUACUCAAACCUCUCAAAGUCAAAGGGCUUGUUUGGUUAGAAGCCUGGAUAAGAUGCCUGAUAAAAUUUGCUGUCUGGUCAGGCAAGAUACUAGCACUAGCAACAACGAAGCUCAGACGACCACUUUUAAUGGCCUGACACUACCAAACAACUUGCAUGCAUACGUUCGGCUACCAAGAAGCCGGCCGGCGUGUGUUGCCUACCUAAAACCGACAGAUGUAAGGUGCGCCUAGUCUACCCCCUUACCAAAACCCCAAGACGUAAGGUGAUGCUAGCUUGGUGUUGUGCGCAUCGAUCCUAGGCUACCAUCUAGAUGCUCCAUGACUCGGAAACACAGAUAUUCCAGAAACUGUAUGUAUCGACGAUCGAAUACCUCCAGAUACAGGAUACAUGCGGAUAUGGGGAAAUACGUAUCAGACGAUUUUCUAUAUUUUUUAAAAAGAAAAUUCAUUCGGAUACUUGUGGGAUACCUCUAGGACAAGGUAGAAUACAUAAAUACCUAAUGGCUUAAUGCAUAAUCCCACUUCGACUCUGGAUCAUCAAUCCAAUCUUUCUCCCAUGGCGACCUACCAACCCUGGCUGCCGGGCACCGUUGCGUCCCCUACUGCUGCACCGCCGCCGCCCCCUGUUGCUACAUCUAUGCGCCGCUGCCACCCUGGUCCCUCGCUGCUACGCCGUCGAAUGCGGGCAGUGGUGCUGGAGGAGCACAUGGAGUCCAGCUGUUGAAUGCUGCUCAUAUGCUUACUUAGAUGUGAUUUCUAUUUUAUCACGGCAACUAGGUGGGAAAGAAAGAGGGCUUUCGUGUAUAUAAUCACUAUGUUUAUAUAUUCUUAAUAUUUAUUAUACAUAUACAAACGUAUUCCCGUAUCAGAGUUUUUGCAAAAUUGUCGUAUCGCGAUGUCUAUAUCAGUGUCCGUUUCGCAGUAUCCGAGCAUCCUCAGCUCCAUCACAUAUACACGGGCAGAGGACCCAGUAGGGCACGCCCUACCUUCGUUUUAGCCUCAGAUACGAAUUGGGAAAGAUUAAGGAGAUGCAACGGGGAGCUAAAGGGUGGAAUCUAUUCGUGAGGUGAUGGGAGGAGAAACGGUCGGUCAUGAGCUAGAGAAUUGAAGGGGAGACCAACCUGCGGUGGAGGUACUCCGCAAGGAAGAAGACUAGAUAGGGGUUGGAACACUAUAUAGGCAGCAGGAUGGGGAGGGAGGGGUGGCGGCGCUUGUGUGAGGAGGAAGACGAGCCACAGAGCGAGGGGGCUGGGGCGCUCGGCUGCGAGUAUGAGAGAUGGCGCAGGGUAGGAGGGAUGGUUGUAUAGUUGGCCAACAUCCUACUCUGCUAUUAAAUGGUUGUGCCGUGCUGGCCCACUAAGGUGGAAGCUAGGUAGGCCAGGGCACGGCCCACCAACCCAGCCGAGCCGGCUUGGCAGGCCCGGUCCCGGUAUUUCAGGGGCCGGUGCCGAACUAGGACUUGGGGCCCUUGUAUCGUACUUCUGUCAUUUGGCGAAGGCGUCGACGAUGCAGCUGCAACCUAAAGGGCAAUCAGGCAUGCACGACGGUUGUCAGCAAAAGUGCAGACUAGAACUGGCCGGCAUCGUCGAACCGGCAGCUCAAGCAGAGGCACCGACGCGUUGCACAUGGUGCAGUGUAGGGCCAAUUACUCCCUUCCUCUUUUUUUCCCGGAGGUAAGUCAUAGCCAAAUACUUCCUCCAUCUACAAAUGAGUGAAUAUUUAGCUUUAAUAUUUGUCCAGAAAAACGUAUUUCUCUCUUUCUAAAACAUCAAUAAAGAAAAAUUACUUCCCCGUAUCACACAUAAAUCAAAUCCAAUAACAGUUUCUACAUGCACUUAUUAGCUCAUUGGAGGUGGAGGAAUUAAAGAUGAGAGAGACGGUGGUUGGCACCUUCCCAAGUACUUUACUGGUAAACUUGAUGGGAACACAUGGAGAACAAACGUUCGCUUCCUAACCUUUUCACGCGACGGACAAAGUUGCCACCGUCAGAUAACUAAAGUUGACAUCCUCAUCAAAGUAAAGUUGUCACCUAUGAAGUAUAAGUUGCGACAACAUGGCACGAUCGCAACCACACUAUUCCUGAUCCGAUGAACAACAGAGCGUUCGCUUCAGAAGACUGCAAAGUAAAGUUCACUACUUAUGAUUCUAAUUGAUAAAAAAGGGCAAUAUACUCUCUUGUAUUAUUGUAUCACAAUUAAUGCAUACGUUUGGUACAGGAACUAUUGAUACAAAGAUAUCAUAUCAUGGUGUCACAAUCAAUACGUUAAUUUGACACAUAAACUAUUAAUAUAAAAGAUAUUUUAUUAGUGAUUCAUAGGUAAUAUAUUCCAUACAUGUCGAUGCUAUUGGUAAAUGGUAUUAUGGUACCCCAAUUAUUAACGAUUGAUUCGAUAGCUAAAAUGUUGAAAUAGAUUAUACUGUAUUUACUUAUCAAUAAAUACUUGAAACAACAAUAUCUCAGUAUGCGUCUAUAUAAACGCUGUGACAAGUGCAGAUUGCAACACACACCCAAAUAUAAGUACUAGCGUCUCGAAAUGGCAUUCUUCAAAAAGAACAUAGGUCUCCUAGUUUUGAUGACUCUCAUGGUUCUGGCUACCAUUCUCUCCAAAUGCAACGCGAACAAUGAGGUUAUGUUAUAUCCAUUCAUUUCUCAAUCCUCAUGAAUGCAGCUUCCUGUGUAUCUUGUGUUGAGAUCCCCAUGAAAAUUAGUGCAUAUUUAGCAAUGCGGAAAAAAAUUAGAUGCCAAAUUAACUAUCACGUAAUAGGCCUAGUGAAGUGUGUCGAUUUUGUGCAGAUUCAGAUAGAUGCACUUCCCCUACCUUGCAAAGUGCUAUGAGCUUUACCUUCCUAACUGCACCGAGGAGCUCUGCAGCAAGAAAUGCCAUGGAGGGCAGUGCAGGGAAAAGGACGAGUGUUGCUGCCACAAAUGCCACAAAUAUGACGUACCUCGUCUAGUGCAUGCGUGGAUAUAUAUCUAUAUCUGGAUAUAUAUCUAUAACUGUCUAAAAAAUACGGACCGUUUCCUUACCAAGCUGACAAAACCCCUCUGUCCACCUCGCACCGGUCCGCGCGCAGGAAAGAAAAAACGAACCCAGUCACUCUUAUCUCUACCCCAACCUCCGCCGCUGCCCUUUCCCUGCCUCCACGCCGCUGCCGCCCUUCAUGUCAAACCUCGCACAACGUCUCUCGUCCCACAAUCGCCGAAUUCCAAACCCCAAUUCCUUCCUCAACGCCCAUGCUUCACUGAGUUCUCUCCGCUGCAUCGCCCUCUCCCGCCGCCACCCACCUCCGCAUGCCCGUACUAGCGCCCACGCCCGCGUGCAAGAAAAUAAUCGCUGCUGAUUUCCCGGCUAGGGACGGGCCUCUGCUCGCCGACGCCCCAUGCGAGACCUUCCAGAUUUCACUCGGCCGAGCGGCCGAGGCGCCGACGAAGGCUGCACAACAACAGUUCCCGCGACCUCUGCUGCAUCGCCAUCGUCUCCCGCCGCCUCUACCUCCAUGCCUCCCUCUGGUCGAGACUCCUUUCCCGUGACAUCCCCUUACAAUUCCAGCGCUAUUCAUCGUCAUCCUCCUCUUUCGCAGCAAAAUCAAGUAAUCUCCCUCUCUGCUCUUCAUGUUUCAGUUUAUUUCCCCGUUUGAGCGGACGCCUUAUGAUGUUCUGCUGCAGGUUCGAGAGGCACAAGGCACGGAUGGCGGGGGCGAUGCGGAAGGGCGCGUGCUGCGCAAUUGCCGUGCCGCAAGCAGUUGACAGAGCUGGAGGAGUCGAUGAUGUGUGCGGAGGGGAAUAGGAUGAAUCAUGAAGGCCACUGAGGAGUAGCUGGACAGCCUUUUGUUUUGUGGUCACUGUACUGCAAAAUUACCCCCACCCCCACCCCCCCACCCCCACUAAUUCCAUUAUGAGUUUGUUUCCUGUAUGGCAUUCGUUCUUUUCUUUUUUGUAAACUAUGGCAUUCGUUCUUUUCUUUUUUGUAAACUAUGGCAUUCCUUCUUGAUGUUAUAAACUGCAGUACGAUGUAGAGAGUAGAAAUGACAUUUUACAAUUGCUAAAUAUCCCAUGCAUAUCUAAAUACCUCCGAUCAUAAAUUGUUGUCGAAAUAUUACAUGUAUAUAGACGUUUUUUAAGAAUAGAUACAUUCAUAUUUAGGCAAAUUUGAGUCAAAAAUUUAGGAUCAGAGGAAGUAUUGCAUUAUCGUAAGAACUAAGUAGCCUUGGGACUUUAAAUUGGGCGAUUAGAGUUGCAAAUAUCCUACACAUAUAAUGGGUGCUUAAUUGCUUGUAGCUAAGGCACUACGGGAGCAAAAGGUAUUGCUCAAGACUUGUUUGCAUAAUCGCAUGGUAUCUUAUGCAGACUCUGGAGAUCUCUUAAGAGCAUAUAUACUUGUAGUUUAGUCUACAAGUGGGAGCCGGCAGAAGUUCGCAGCAGAAAUUUUUGUAAAAUUAUCUCAGUGCCUAAACAAUAGAUUUCUUAUGAAAGGUUUCUUCCAUGAAUUGUUUUAAUUGUCCCGUUGCAACGUACGGGCAUUUCAGCUAGUAGAAGAUCAAAUAAAACCUUUUAAUUGUUAUUUUUAACCCAUGAAGCAAGCAAGCUUAUUACUUCUCUUUAUGCGUUUCAAUGAAUGGACAUGCUCAUGAAUUGGAUGUUCAAUCUAUCUAAAAACAGCAACCAAAACAAAAGAUAACAUCUACCGACCCUCUCCUCCCAAGAUUCCAUAUCCACCUACCGUCGCCCUCUCUAGAUUCAGCACCAACCGACCCUUCCCGUCCCCAGAUCCCAUCUCCACCUGCCGCUCUCCCCCUCUAGAUCCAGCGGCAGCCCUCGAUGACAGUAGAAGCUCGCUUGCUCGUCUCCGAGCAUGGGCACCUCGUCGUAUCCACGGGACGAUGAGAGGGAGGGACCUCAUCGCCCUCAUGUGCCACUCCUCAUCGGAUCCACGGGACGAUGAGAGAGAGGGACCUUGUCGCCGUCUGAGUGUGUCUCGUCGGAUCGCCGGGAUGGUGAUGCAAACAGAUGGCAUUGGCGGCCGACCGAAUGCUUCUCAACUCCACUUGAUUCGAUGGCUAAAAUGUUGAUAUAGAACAUAUUGUAUUUAUUUACCAAUACGUACUUGAAACAAUAAUAUCUCAAUCUGCGUAUAUGUAAACACACAACAUAACUUAUACGAUUAGAUCUAUGAUUCCUUCUCCCAUUGGAUGCUGGUCAUACAAACAUUGGACGGGCGAAUGGUAAGAGCAUUUUCAACAGGAGCCCCUAAAACAAGGCCCCUAAACAGCAUUUAGGGGCUCCCCUCAAAUUCUAAGGUACCAAAAAAAUCAACAAGCUUCAGCAGUAGCCCAUAUUUUCUGGCCCCUUUUUUUAAUGACAUGCGGGGCGCCGCGAAGCGGCGUGGCACAGGGCGGCGGGCCACGGGGCCGCGGCGAGUCACGGAGCGGCGGCGGCACAGAGCUGCAAGGAAGGAAGCGCGGCGGCGGAUGGGCGGAGCGAGGAGGCAGACCGGCGGCGGACGGGAAGACCUAUGAAGCCGGCGACGCCGAACGGCGGAGGCGGCGGCAUGGGGGCCGACGGCGAGGUACGGGACGGCGGUGCUGGCGAGACAAAGGAAGAACAGUGAGGAGAGAGCUGACGUGGAGGGAAUAGGGGCCUCCCUUGGGAGCCCCUAAGAAUGUGGGCUUGGGAGAUGUUUCUAGGGGCCUUCUUAAAAUAGGGGUUCUAAUAAGAACCCUGCUGAAGAAUGUUUUUUGACUCUAACUCUUAAAAACGGGAUAGAGCCCCUGUUUAGAUACUGCUGAAAAUGCUCCGAACGCUCCUAAAAAUCCUCCGGUAACGGUGCCAAUGCUCGCUCCGACUACCGCGCGACGCCCGGCGCAUACAUCAGGAUAAGUAAAUCGGAGAAAGUAUCAAAUUCCUUAAAUCAAUAACUGGCCUCCGUUGACAUCCACCGUCUGGUAAAAAAAAAAAAACCACCGUCCGUAUCCGCCACGUCCCCCGCCCCCAUAAUGCAGAGCGGAGCAACAGAAACUGGAGGGCACGCCUCUCAUAAAAGCCAAACCCAGCGAGCUCCUUGCCUUUCUCCGGUUCCCCUUCCCCACCCCCAUCGGCCGCCCACCACUGGGACCCGAACCCACGGGGUCCCCCGAUUCAGCCCACUCCCGCAUGCGCGCGCCUCCUCCCUGAGCCCCCACUCCCCUCGCCGGAGCGCGCCACCAUGGAUGAGUACCGGCCGCGCGUGUCGCCGGCGACCGAGCGGUUCGUCGGGCUGUUCUCUUCGCCCUCGUCUUCGCCGACGGAGCCGUCGUUCGUCGCUGGGGAUGAGUUUCACGAGGACGACUUCCUGUUCUCGUCCGGUCCCGCCGCCGCCUCGGACGCGCCGCCCGAUGGGUUAGGGAGCCAAAGGGUCCCGCACAGCCACCUCGGCCUCCUCGCCGCGCUGCACGAAGGGGACAAGAGGCUCCUUGUCCGCCGCGGCAGCGGGGCCGGCGGGGUAGCGGCGUCUGCGGCCGCGGCAACCGCCGGGACCCUACUCCGUCGCAAGGCGACCAUCGCGGCCGCCGCCUCAGCAUCUGGCAAGUCGCCAUCGCCCACCCUUUCCCCGAACUCCGUUGCGUGGGCUAUCCCGGCGAUCCCGAGGCCCAAGAGCCGGGAACAGGCCCCGCAGUACCACCAGUCGGCUCCAGUAAAGGUGCCCGUCCGUCCGCCUCUGAAGCCGGCAAUGGACAGGUGGGACGAACUUGACGACGAUGACGAGCUCCGGCACGGGGAUGCCGCCAUGCUGCCCCCGCACGAGAUGGUCGCGCGCGCGUCCGCUGCUGCCACGGGGCCGUCCGCCCCGUUCUCGAUGCUCGAGGGCGCCGGUCGCACGCUCAAGGGCCGAGACCUGCGACGGGUGCGUGACGCCGUGCUCCGGCAAACAGGGUGGCUCGACUGAAUCCGGCGAGGUGAUGUGGUUCUGGCCUUUUGUUCUGAAUGCCCAGAGUCAUAGAUUGGUUACAUUAGGGUAUAAUUCUAGUGGGUUCUUGUUGUAGACCGGGAUGAAAAACGAGAAAGUGAGAACAAGUUGAGUUUUUUGUGCAACUGCUUGCAAUUUUGGUGUCCUUGGAAAUUGGAAUGAUGUGUGUGAUAUUACUGUAAGUUCCAACAGUAAUAAGAAAUUAAGAACUUCUGCCAUGUGUUCGUGAAUUGUGAGCUCUCUGUAAUUCAGGAGGAAGAGCAAUCUUUGUCAAAGUUAUUAGGUUUGGAAAAUUUUGGAGGCCUAUGCUUGUCUACACCUAGGGUUGCAAACGGGAUCCCGCGAAAGUCCCGCUUCCAGUUCAUUUUUCAAACCUUCUAUUCAAAAUUUUGUUCAGAAUUAGAAUAAGAGAUUUGAGAAUUGAACUAGAAGCGGGACUUUCGCAGGAUCCCGUUUGCACCCUUAUCUACACCUUUCCAAAUUUUGUUUCAGUUUUCUUUCCUCAUCUCGUAAUGUCACACGGUUACAUGUCUUGUGAUGGAAAGGUGCAAUUUCCCUGUGUUUGUUAAUUACCUGAUGUGCAUUUUCGGAUCUUACUGGGCAUGCCGCUGCUCAUCCAUAAUUCCAUGUCAGCCUACUUCCUGGAGAAUUUCAGACUAUUGUGUUAACAUAUGCUGUCAAAUGCAUCUGGUAUGUAUGUGGGUUUCUGUGAUAUCAUGUGAACUAGAAGCAAUGUACCAACUCAUCCAUCAGUCGAUGCUUUGUUCAAAAGCAUUGCUAUUUACGUCCUCGAAAGCACUUUGGUUUGGUGCCUAGUGGUCUCAGGCAUAAGAAAUUCUAGGGUGUGCUCUUAUUUUAUGAACUUCUCUUGGUACUUAUCUACAUUUGAAUUUGUAACAUCUAUUAAAAAUAUUUACUAGUUUGGUUUUCACAAUGACUGAUUGCUAUGUUUAGGUGUAGUAUUCUAGUGGCAACCACCUUGUUUUAUCCAACAAAAGGGAUGAACCCCAUUACCCAACAACUUCUUUGAACCAUUUAUUAUAUUUCCCUUUUGUUUGUAUGUACUUCUACUUCCCUGUGACACAUUGCUGAAAGAUUAUAGGAGCAUUCCGGUCAUAAGAACACAUAACUUUCUCAAAUGCUUAAUGUUGUAUAUGUGCAACUGUAGUUUAUAGUAUCUUCUACUGUAGUCUAUUUCAGUGCCUGUAAAACUGAAGUCUACUACAUCUUAUGCAGGAAUUUUUAGGAACUUCGGGAAGCCCUUGAACAUAUGAAUUUCUUUUUAUUUGAACUAUUGCAUGCAUCAGAGUUCAGAACUUGAAUGCUUUCGGAAAGCUGAAAUCGAGAUGCUUUCUAUCCAGGAGAUUUUGAGCGAAGUGAAGAUGGUUAAAUUGAUGCAUGUUGCAGAGUCAGUAUUCAUUGUGAGUUCUGUACAACAGUCUUUAUGCUUGCUGUUGGUGUUCAAGAAGAUGAUAGGGGGGAUUUAGGCCUGGUGCUUGAUGUCGAUAACAAUAGUGUUCUGAGACGAUUUGGUUAGAUUUGGACUGUGAACCACUUUCUUCCACUUCCAGUGAUCCUUAGUUGCGGAAAGUUGGUUCUGUUGCCCUUUUUUUAGCUUUAUUCCUUUGUGCUCCUCUUUCCCAUUGUCAAUUCCAAACUUGCGCUGCAGUGCUCUAGUCAAUUGCUGGUUGGAACCUAUUCGCCAUACCAGUUCAAGGAUCAGUACAAUGGCUCACAGCCUCACACCAAUUGAACUUGCAGUGCUUUGCUGUGUGCCAUUCUUUUCUGUGGGCCUGCCCUGAGCAUGAAUUCACUGUGUCUAGCUGACUGCCUCCUCCAUUCAAUGAGAACUAACCGCACUGCACUACACAUUUGCUAUUUUCACAUGGAUUUUACUAAUCAUUUAUAUCAACCUGGAGAUGGACCAACGGCGGCUGUUACCUGUUGCUGAGCUGCUGUGAUUCUUGUGAAGAUAAAAUUCAGCAACCUUUGCUCAAAGGCUCGUAGCUCCUGCUUGCCGGAGCGGCAGAUGCAGGGCCGCCUUCAUGGCUCGGUUGCCAUCUCGGUUCCUGCCAUAAAAUGAAGGUCACGUCAGGGGAUGGCACACACUGGUCCAAACUCCAACCUUGUCUCUUCGUCUGCGCUUCCUGCUGCUUAAAGGCUGAACCUUUGGGCAUUUCAUCAUCACCGGCAUCAGCGAAAAGCGAAAGGCGUAAUUCGGCCGUGAACUGAAUAAUAAACCGAAGUCUUUUUGUUUUGCUUUGGUUUGGUUUCUCUUUGAACCCCGGGAUUGAGAGCCCGUACAUUCUAUUUUUUUCUCUCUAAUCGAAUGACGGAAACGACCGCCUUUUCCUAAAAAAAUAAAAUAAACCGGGUGUCACUUUUAGUGCUGCUCAAUUCAUAUUAUAUGGGCGGAGAUUCCUGAAAGGAAGCUUACUUGUUUUUUGGAAGGCAAGGACGCUUACUUCUAGUAGUCCUACCAUUUUGAGUGACAUAUUUAGAUGAUAACUUAUUUUUUGAGGGCCAUGUAAAUGCUAGCUGAAGCAAUAAAAUUUUCGUCAGAGUGGCACUAAGCCGCCGUCUCCGCUUUUUCCUUCGAGCUUGGCCACUUCGGUGGCCUGCAUAUUGGGAUCUAGCCACAACGUGUUCGUCUUUCGUGUCUGCCUCCAGAAUUUUCUUUUGCACUUCCGUUUUAUGGACUUUACUUCUUCAAAAGUAUGUCGAGUUGUCUUCCUCAAAGUUUUGGUGGUUGAGUGAUGGAGGUGCCGGUGAAGUGGCUGAAAAAAUUUGUUGGCAAUGUAAAUGAUAUUAGCACCAGCCUCCGUUUCACAGGAAAGGCGGGACUUUGGAUAUGACUUGGAUCAAACUUUGACCAUUGAUAUCAUUAUAGAUAUUUAGGAGGUUCUAAUCUAUGAAGGACAAAGAACUAAAAGGAAUAGGAAGUGUUUAUUUCUCAAUCGACAAUUAUAUCCAUCCAAUGAAAUUUUUCGCAUCCUUUGUACUUACAUGAAUUUUGUACGAAUCUCAGUAGUUAGAUCAGACGGUGGUUAGCAUCGACUUAGAAAUAGUUAUUUCUCAACCGCCUUAAAAAUAACAGAACCGAAAAAAUUACCACCAAAUACAACAAUAUGCGGUAAAUCUAGCCGUAGUUAACAUAACAAAAUUAAAGUGUCCGGUUUUGAAAGUUGGACAAAAAAAGCACGAAACUUUUUUAAGAAUGAAAAAUGAACUUUUCUGACAAGCUGAGGGACUAAAUUUUUUUUUCUUAAUAUUAAAAGUAUAUGCAUAAAUUUGUCUCGAAAAAAUUUUAAUACUAUUUUUCUUGUGCAUCAUCCAAAUCAUACAAUAAAAACUAGGGCUCAAAGUUUGAUCCUAAAAACUGACUGUAUCAGUAUCUAAAAUUUCUCUGUUUUUUGUGAACUGAAGGGGAUGAAGCAUACAUUGAGGACUUAUAUGUUUUCAAAAGAAAAGGUUGAAAACAGAGGAAUGAAAACCGAUCUGGACUAAUAAUUUGCUUCCUGUGAGAAGCAUAGAAAAUGUUCCAUUCCGUAAGGAAUCACUCUGCGGUUUUGUUUGCUCCUCCAAACAACCCAAAAAGGAAUUUAGUUUUUGAAGCAGAACAAUUCUAUAGGAAAUCAAACUUCCAGAAUUCCUUCAUAAAUCGUUUGCUCCGGCCUUCCAAAUCUCGCCCAAGCACAAUAAGUCGCCGGCUCGCCGCUAUCCACCAAUCUAACCUUGCGGAGCAUUCAUGGAGUGGUCUUGUGUUUAGCUACCCCUCAUAGUCGUAGCUGCGAGUUCGAGACUGCACCACACCGCAGCCACGUAUAUAUAAAUGCAGGUGCUGCGUGUGUUGGUUCACGCAACAAGGCGCAAGUUGCAACACAGCGUGCGGCUCGAGUCAACGAGAGUCUAGCUGUACGUACGUAUGUACGUGUCCGUUCGUUUUCGCCUAGGAGAUCAUGGCUGCGCUUCGUGUCUCCUUCGUCGUCGGGGCACUCGUCCUCUGCCUCGCCGCCGCGCAGAUUGCCGCGGCGGGGUCGUCCGACACGCUGCGGGGCACGGUGGCCUGCCUCGACUGCGCCCAGCAGCGUAACCUCUCAGGUACACCGCAGUGGAAAUGCUGAAAUGACCUGGGUGCUUGUCUCUGACGAAGGCAACACAUGCAGGUGUGGUGGUUGCGGUGAAGUGCGCCAACGGCACGGGCGUGCGCGCCGCGGAGACGGACGGCCAGGGCAGGUUCGAGGUCGCCGUGCCGGCGUCCAGAUCCAAACCAGGAUCGCCGUGCGCCGCGAGGAUCCUCGGCGGCCCGGAGCAGCUCUGCGCGCCCCCGAGGUUCGCCGCGUCGCGCGUUGUCGUCGCCCACGCGCGGCCCGGCGGCGGCUCGUACGCUCUGACUUCUCCUCUAGGCGUCUUCACACAGUGCGGUUCUGCGACCGCCCCGUCUGGUGAGCCAGAGAAGGCCACGACUGCCGCUGACGCGCCGGAGAAGGCGACGACUGCCGCUGGUGCGCCGGAGAAGGCGACGACUGCCGCUGAUGCGCCGGAGACAGCGACGGCCGCCGCGGACGACGGGACGGCUCUGGAGACGGCAAAGCCCGUCCGGCUCCCGGGGAUCGACUCGCCGCUGGACUACAACAUGGGGUUGCCUCUGAACCUCUUCUUCCCGUUCUUCCCGGUCGUCGGCGGCGGCGUCCCAUGAUCAAACAGUACUGCCAGUAUAUAUUUACGUACUACGUGUCGUGAUUGCUGCUUGCACGGACCGUACGUAGGACCUCUUUGUGAUGGCGCGGGAAUGCGGGAACUGGCGGCGUGAAUGUGUAUGAUGCAUUCGUGCUGCGUGCGUACAUUUUCUUCCGGUGUGAAUGUGAUUGUGUCGGUGUUCUCGCGCGACUGGCGCCAUGAAAAUAAGCAAGCGUAUGUGCAGGGAAAUAGGAAUUCAGUUUGGCAAUGUGAUUGUGUCAGUGUUUUCGCGCGACUGGCGCCAUGAAAAUAAUCAAACGUAUGUGCAGGGAAAUAGGAAUUCAGUUUGGCAAUGUGAUUGUGUCAGUGUUUUCGCGCGACUGGCGCCAUGAAAAUAAUCAAACGUAUGUGCAAGGAAAUGGGAAUUCAGUUUGGCUCCCGAAUCCCGAUCGAGCACAAGCGUACUCUGCUCGAUUUAACUUUGGCUCCCGCUCAAGCAUGUGCAAACGCUGAAACGUCAUGGGUAGUGGCGUUUCUAUCCUGUUAAUGUUUUUUAAAACCUAAAACUUAACGCGCCACGCUGUUGCACGCACUGCCCCAUCAAUAUUUUUUUUAGAAACCCAGUACAAACGCAGACGCUCACAAACACGAGUGAACACUCACCCCUAUGAACGCACACACGCACACCCUAUCUCUACGAGCACCUCCGAGAGACUGAGUCGGUCGGCGAGUAUUGAGAGAUUGACGAAGUCACCACAGGCGCCUCGCUGUUGACAAGUACGUCACCUACCACUGAAAGCAAAGCGCCGGUUAAAUUCUGAAUUAAAUCCAGGAAAUGCAAGCACCCAUGCCAAGUCUAGGACUUGAACCUGGGUGGGUUGGUUCCACCACAAGGCUCCAUCAAAUUUUGUGUUUGCACGCGUGCGCUGGUUUCUUUGGCAUUCACCGCAAUGAGCUGGUAAAGUGUUUGACGCAUUUGUAUGUGUACUAGCAUUUUUAGAGAUUUAAAAUGUUUUGUAGCACAAACCGUUUGCCUGAUUCACAAUAUGUUUUCACUGUUGGUUUCGUAUCGACAAGUGCUUUAAAUCUAAAUCCCAUUUUAAUGUGUUUCAAUAAAAAAAAGAACUCUUUAGUUACCAAGCGGCAAUGCACAAGUUACCAUCCUAUUUUGAAAUAAGUUGCCAUGUCGUAAAAAGUGGUAAUUUGUUAGUAAAAGAGUGGCAACUUCGUAUAUUAUUGAAUUGUAAUUUUCAUUUAUGAAUUACCACCCCUAUUUUAUAUGAAUUACCACGUGGUAGCUUGUUAUUAAUAGAGUGGUAUUUUUUUAUAUUAAUGGGUUGCAAUAUUCAUUCGUGAGAUACCACCCCUGUUUUGUAUGAAGCUGCCACAUGACAACUUAUUAUUAACAAAGUGGUAUUUUUGUAAAUUAUUAGGUCGUAACUUUUAUUCACGAGAUACCACCCAUAUUUUGUAUGAAGUUGUCACAUGGUAACUUGUUAUGAACAGAGUAAUAUUUUGUAUAUUAUUUUGUGGUAAUUUUCAUUCGCGAGAUACCAUCCCCAUCUAUAAACUCUAUAAAGUUGAAUCCCACUAAAUGCAAUAAAUUUAGCAAGCUACACAUGCAGCCUAUCCAGAUGAGCGUGUACCUUAGCGUUUUCCCCGUCUUCUAUGCCUAAGUGGUUUCUGUGAGCUCGCCGGUCCCGCGGGCGUUUUGCAAGCGAUCCCGCGACACGUUCCAGGCUUCUCCGGCCCAAGUUCGCAGCCCACCGUGAAAAAAUCCCGAACCCCGUCUCCGUCUGCUCCGCUGCCUGUCUUCCCCCGAUCCCCCAUCUCUGCGCGCCAGCCCAAUGCAUCCCUGAGCAACUUGCGCGCCGCUCCCCUUCCCCACGGCCCCACCUGUGCGCGUCGCUUUGCCUGGCCCCUGCCCUCCCUGCAUCCUCUCCCGACCACAAAUGCAGCCAUUAUGGUAAUGGAGGGAGCAAACCGUCGUCUUCUCCUUUAAAGGUCUUGCUCCUUCCGUGCAGGUGAAGGCCCGCUUGCUCACCGCGCGCCUCGCCGUCUCCCGUUCCACAUCAGCGGCAAGUCUGGCUUCCAUGACCCCUUUCGAUCCCAAGGUAUUCCAUUGCGGAGAAGCAUCGAGUUUCCGUUCACAUGUUCCUCUCUUAUCCUUCAUGCAGCCGGCAGCGUGGAUCAUCCCCUACAGCCCGCCCAACUGCUGCUUGAUUUAGUCACAGGAAGUUCCAUGCUCUGAGCUCUGAUCAAUUCCCUGGACAAAGCAUUUUUUUUGGCCCCAUCCGAAUUUACAGAUAAAACUCAAUCAAAUCUGCCUACGAUUUUGCAGAUUAGAUUGAAUCAUGUCCUCAUCCACGGGAACCAGUCAAAACUCAAAAGGUUCUGCUCUCUCUCAACGUGCAGUUAAAUAGCUACAUGUUUUGUUUUUUUGCUGGAAUAAAUAGCUACAUGCUAUUACUGUUACUGCUUAUUCAGUUCCACCGUUUUACUUUCAGGAAUUUAUCGGGCUGAGUUCUUUAGGCAUGGGGUUUUUUGUGAUAUGUUGUCAUGAGAAAAUUAGUUUGGAAGUGUGCAUGGUUGUGGGAUGCCCAAAGACAGUACUUGAAAUUGGAGUAGUGUUGGCGUUCUCCCCGACUUUGAUCCAUGUAUAAUGCAAGGCUUCGGAGGUGCUACUGUGUGCAAUCUGAACAUCUUUGAUCAUUACUUAGUAUUAUGACAAUAUCACCAUUGGUUCCUAUUUUGCAUCUUAGCAACAUAAGGCACCAUUGCACUCAGCAAGUUGUACUAAUUCUCCCUACCAUUUUAUGGUAUUCUAAACUAAAGUCUUAAACAUUGAUGUGCCAAUGUUAUAUAACUAUGAGCAGGGGCGGAGCCGGGCCUGGUGCUACCGGUGCCGUAGCACCGGCCUGGCAAGGAUGCUCACAAGAGGAUUCAUCAAGUAUUUAGUUCAUUAGUAUGUAAAAUUCACAAGUAUAGCAUCAUUAGUGCUAUCUUAGCACCAUCCUUGUCCGGUUUUUCGGCUCCGCCACUGACUAUGAGUAUUUGUUAAGCAUUGCACUGACAUUUGGCAAUAAACCUAUAUCUCCAGCUAUUUCAAGAGGCAGGCUGCCUUAUGCAUUUUUAGCUAAUAUGCACUACAUAUCCUCGCAUGUUUGUAUGAUUACAAACCCUUGAAAGAGUUGAAUUUUGGUUUUCAUAGUGGCCUUAAACAGAGAAAUUCCAUUGGACUGCAACUCUGCCUUUUUCACACGCCGGUGUACAAUUUCACAAAAUUGUGUCCUUAGAAAGUGCACCAUUGUGACAAUAGUUGCUUCCAGAUUCAUGGGAUUUCAAUUUAAUUUUCGAAUCAAUAACAUAUUUUACUAAAAACAAGGUUUGGACUGUUUUUCAAUUCAGUUUGAUUAGGUAUGGAAGAUUUAAAAAUUCUCAUUUGGUAUAUGCUUUAAAAGUCCCGCCGCAACGCGCGGGGUUUCAUCUAGUUUUGAAUGAAGCUGCCACAUAACAACUUAUUAUUAACAGAGUGGUAGCUUCAUAUAUUAUUAGAUGAUAACAUUUAGGAUUGAUUUGUUUUUGUCAAAACAUAUCAAUAUGAAGACAUAGUUUGAAAUCUCGUCGAGACAAAGCUAACCGUUUAGACGGAUUUUAAAUCGAGUAAACGGUUUGAAAGUUUCAGCUUUUCAAAGUUCAAAUCUUCAUACCAUGCUGCUGCUGCAUGUGACUCGUACGCGCGGCCGUGCCAUCGUGCGAAGGGUCGCAUGUUAGGCAGCGUCCAUUUUAAAAAGGUUAAUGUUUUUUUAUUUUGGCCCUGAAAACCCCCGUUGGUCAAUGCUGCUGUAAAAGCCCAACAACCAAACAAAGCUGGCCACUCUGCAACACAUUGGACUGAAAGCCGACCGUUAAACAACGAGCCCGCUUCAGAAGUCCAACACAACGUUUGGCCCGGCCCAGCCUUCCCUCAAAAGAAGAAAAGACGGAACGCCGCUUCCUCGUCGGCGGCGGCUGCUGUGCUCCCCUAGUCCCCUUCCUGAUCUCCCACUUCCCACUAGGCCACUUUCCGUCUCCUCCGUCCCGCGGCCUCCCGCCGGGCAGUCCGGCAGUCCGGCAGACCCGAAAAGAAAGCAAAACAAAAAAUAUGGAAAACCAAACUUGUUCCGCAAGACUGGCUCACACCAAAUCCCAUCGCCGCUCGAGCCACUGCUCUUGGCUGAUCCGUUCGCCUCCCGCUUCGCAAGCCACAGCCCAGAGGCCCCACGCCCAGCUCCUCCCACUCUGAUUUCGAAGCCAGCGAGCCAUGUCGAUUCGGCCAGUGUGGAUGCCAGAGCCACCCGGUGGGGGCACGGGGGCGCCGGAGAUCUUCGCGGGCGGCGCCGGCACGGUGCGCCGCGCCAUCGUCAUCGGGAACGGCUGUGCCGGCGCCGAGAACCAGUGCCUCGGCCUCGUCCGCGCCCUCGGCCUCGCCGACCGCCUCACGCUCUACGUAAGAUUUCGCCCCCCUCGUUUCCUCUCCGCGAGCGGUGAUAGUGUGAUGGGAUCGCUGUUGAUUAGUCGUAGAAGGCUUAAAUGGGUUGCGCAUGUUGUUCGUGCUUGCGGUAUGUGUUGGGAACUGAAGCAUAGAGUGGAAGUCAAUUUCAUUCAUUAUUAUGUACUCUGUCAUGAGCUGUCAAGAGUUUCAUCUGUUGCUGCAACGAGGGUGCGUGAACAUGAGUGUCAACUGUCAGGUUGAUUCUGAAAUGGUUCGUCAACUCAACUCCCAGAUGGUGGUUGUCGGAUUUGGUACUGGUUAGUUGUUGGCAUGGCUUUUUCUGUGUGCAUUCAUGGGGUUUGCAGCAGCAAGUAAAAAACUCGACCUGCAAAGGGGUAAGCCACCCCCCCCAGACAUUUGCAUUAAGAAGAAGACCUUCUCACGCAGGUCGAAAAAUCCUCGAACCCCUGCCCCACACCAUACACAGCGGCACCGAAGCCCGUGUGAGAGCGGGCGGGCCUUAGGUCUGUGCUUAAGGCGUGGGGCAGACGAGAGGACUUUUUAACCCCAGCCUGAAAUUCGCUCCCAUGGGGAGUCGAACUCAGGACCUGAGGAGUGCUACUAGAGUUGUUCCUUAACCAUUACGCCAAGGGCUCGUUCGCUGCAGCAGCAAGUAGCAUGGACUGAAUUUUGGAUUGCGAUGUGUUGAUGGCAAUCGCUCUGCCCUAAAAGGCUGAAAUACUCUAAAUAGAUUGUCAUUUCUUUCUAGCUUCUUGUUACUUGUGUAUGCGGGCAGAUGCUUGUCCUGUAUCACCUCUGUUAACAAAUACUAAUAAGAAGGCUAACAAGAAGCAAAGUCCUUAUUGUUAAUUCUGGCUUCACCAUAUAGUCUUGUCUUAAGUUCUUAUCAACUUCCUCAGUACUUUUGCUAGGUCUCAUUUGGUAAAUUUUCCGAUGGAGGGUAGCUUUUAUUAUCUGAUAAUUUCAUAUAACUAUGGCAGUGACUGCUUCCAAAUGUUUUUUUCACUCUUGUUCUCACAGAUUUAGAGUUACAGCUCAUUAUUUAUUAUUUUUCUGGUGAAAUCUGUUCAUGCAGCGUAUUACCAGGCCAAUAGGAGGAAUCAACAAGUGGCUGCACUUUCUCCCGAUCUCCUUGCACAAGAUAGUGGACCAAAUACUGAGACAUAUAUUUUCUAAUACGACAUUUGCACCAUUGUUUCAAGGAAAAAUGCUUGCACCUUAUCCUGUCCAUAAUGUUCAAUCAUUUGGAUUGUCUUCUGUACUGGAAGCAGAUACCAAAAAGAUAGUGACAGUGGUGCAUGAUACUUUUGAGAAGUACGGUUCACAUUUCUUAUACUGCUAUUUGUUGUUUGUGCACUACUGUGCAGUUUAUAUUUAGCAUGGUAUCAAUGUCGCAGUGCCAGUUCUGAAUAUCUCUAUCCAAUCCCUUGUUACAACAUAUGAUCCAGGAAAUCUCAACACUCAUCCUUCUAUUCACUUUUUUUUAUUGGAUCUACUUAGAACAUUAUAAAUUCCUUGUAAAGUUACAAUUACCACAUGCAUUAAUUUAUAUAUGACUGAGGUUUUGUUGAUAUAGUAGAAUCAUACAUUUUAAUUCUGAUAUAUGUUGGCCAUGGAUCAUAUAAGAGUACAUGGUAUUGAUAUAACUACCAUGACAGGUUAUAUCCUUGAAUGGUUGUUUCCAUACCUCUAGGAAGAAUAUUGGAAAGAUAGGGUGUCUUUUUAUGAAUUCCAAAUAGGCAACUUGUUAGGACAUACUCUGGUUGGCCACUUCUCUUAUGCAAAAGUAAACUAGAACUAGGCUAAACAUUUUGUAGGAUUUGUUUCUGCCAUAAGCUCUUUAAUAUUCUCAGCAUCUAGUUUUCCUGGAAUACUUCCUCAAACUUUGCUUUGCUUUCAGGGAAGGCCUGGCAAUAGUUGUUGCUUGUGGCCGAGAUACCAUAUCAUAUGCAAGUUCAGUAAGAUUUUUAGCUCCGGAUAAUGUUUUUGUCAUUCAGGUAGAAUACUAAAAUGAAUAUAUCAUUUGUUUAUUUGAUUAUUUGUCAGCCAUUAUAUUCUCAUUGUGAUUACGUCAGAUACAACACCCCAGGUAUCGCCUUGAUAGGUUUGAUUUGGUGGUGACUCCUCGUCAUGAUUACUAUGCGUUAACUGCAAAGGGGCAACAGGAAAUUCCACGCCUUUUCCGCACAUGGAUUACUCCACGAGAACCACCUGGGCCAAAUGUGGUAUGCUGAUUUUUUAUCUUGCAAACAAAAUAUCUCAUUUGUUGUCAUCAAAUAGCUUCCCAGUUCUAAACUUCGAAAUCUGGAAAGGCAGGUUCUGACUGCUGGUGCACUUCACCAAGCAGAUUCUGCUACACUACGCAUUGCUGCUACAAACUGGCAUGAUGAACUUGCUCCCCUGACAAAGCCAUUGGUAGUAGUAAACAUUGGAGGACCAACAAGUAAACCCCUCUUUCCCUUCCUGCCUGUCUAUCUGCCGAAUAACCCUUGCUUCGCGAUAUGCCAUUGAACAAGUCAUGUUUUCUCAUAUACGACUGUUUUAUGAAACUGCGGCCUUCCAUGCCAUUGCUCACCGCUGUAGAUGAAUGAGCUGGCUCUUUGGCUGGAUCCCCCCCCCCCCCCUCCUGCAGGCCGCUUUCCCCCAUCUCAUCCGAGUACCAAAACGUCCAUGUACUUGAUCUCUUCCAUGCAGCAGUUGGAUUUCCAGCUGUGAUUUUUGGCUGGGAGCAGAUGCUGGGCUGGUGACGAUAGCAUAAUGGGUAUAACUUCUUGUAACUGAUGGCAUGCGAGGAAUAAUCACUUAAUUGAUGACAUAUCGUAUCUCCUAAUGUUACGUUAGCAUGUAUAUGCUUUACAUAGGCUAGUUCGAUUGGAUAAGAAAAAUGUGCAAUGCCACACAGGCACAGAGAGUUGGAGACACUACACACAAUUUCAAAAUAGAUAACUCCUUGUGUGUGUGUAGCAAGGGAAUAGCUCAGCUUUUUUUAUCUGCUGAAUUCCCCCUUCUUUUGGUAUGGUAUUGCCGUAUGGCGCUUGCUAUUGAGCAAGAAUACUUUCACAUAUGCAGUAGCCGGUCUUUCACAUACUUUGUGCAUCACAACAUAAUCAUGUUUAUUGUGAAUUUGUGGUAGAAUAUUCCAGUUGAAUGUUUCGUUCUUCACUAUAGUUAAAAAAUAUUGGUAUAACACAUUCUGCAUGUUAAAAGAUGGGAUUGUUUGAUUACUGCAAUAAAUAAUGUCGCGAACUUAAAUAAGUUGCAUUCAUAAUUGCAAGUGCUCCAGUCCAAUAUGCGUCUCUCGCAAAAAAGAAAGUCCAACAUGCGUCUCUCGCAAAAAAAAAGUCCAACAUGCAUCAUCUGAAACAACUCAAAACUGAUUGAUUUCUUUUAGUUUGCAUUGUGAAGCCUAGCUUCCAAAAUAAGAUGGAUAAUUGCAUUUCCAGUAGGCCUUAAUCCUAGAUUCCCUGUCAUCAGGAAUUCCAUUACGAUCUUGCAUUUUCUUCAUAAAUCAUGAAUACUGAGCACAACAUGUUAUUUUAUUUACAUUUUCGUAAUUGUAUCACGCCAUUCGAUUGCGGAAUUGAAGUUAGACUCUACGCUCAUAGCAUAACAAGUUAUUCUAUUUGCAUUCUGGCCGUUAGAUCGCGCAAGUCAAUUGAGGAAUUUAAGUUGCAUGUACACUCUAAUCUAAAUAAGUGUGAAAACAACACGUUAAUAUUCUCUCAUUCAUGCAAAAUCUUCCAUUCCACAUGCUUUCUCUUCCUCUUACUCCCUCCAGACAGAGGAAUAAUGUUUUAAGAUACGUGCAGUCAAACUUUCAAAAUUUUGGCUAGCUGCGUUUUCAUGAUUAUUUAGAUUAGAGCUAACCACAUUACAAAGUAAGUUGAUGCAAAAAAAAGAGACUUUUUAUGCAUCGCUUACUUUAUCAUAUUUUAGUUUAUUUUACUUUGAGCGUACAGGUUGAGCAGUUUCUGCUUUCACACAUGUAUAGAUAGAUCUAACGCAUAGCACUUCAAUUGUCAGGAAACUGUAAUUAUGGUGUCGACCUUGCUAAGCAGCUAGUAAGCUCACUACACAAAGUUUUAAAGACCUGUGGAAGUGUCAGAAUUUCAUUUUCCAGGAGAACACCACAAAAGGUAGAACUAUUGAUUGUUCAUGUCAUGUUUCAUGCAUUGCUCACACUUCAAAUUCUAAACCAUUUCCUGGCAGGUGUCUGAUCUUAUAUUGAAAGAGUUCAGCACACAUCCUAAGUUUUACAUUUGGGAUGGUGAAUGUACAUGCUAUAUAAGAAAAUUUCAUCGUUUUAAUCUUUAUAUGCAGCGGAGAAUUUAUGUUGAGCUGGAUUUUCUGCUGCAGAACCUAACCCGCACCUAGGGCACCUCGCAUGGGCUGAUGCUUUCAUCAUAACAGCAGACUCAAUAAGUAUGAUAAGUGAGGCGUGCAGCACUGGGUGAGUUAUUGUGCUACGGAGUAGUAUACUUCUAUUUGUAAAUGUUGCUCAUGUUUGAGGUUCAUAGCUUGAUAGCUAAGCUCUCUGUUACAACUUUAUACAGGAAGCCAGUUUAUGUUAUUGGAACUGAGCACUGCAGGUGGAAAUUCUCAGAUUUUCACAGCACUCUUCAUAAACGAGGGGCUGUUCGUCCUUUCACUGGAUUGGAAGAUGUAAGUCUAAUAUUUGUUCUCUGUUACUGAUCAAGACCAAGUCAUCUCUUCUGUAGUCAAUCACAUUCUCCGUCAUAUCAGCUUUGGAAGUCUUAAGUUUAGAAGUUUGAAAUUUUCUCAAGGAAAACUCAUGGUGUCUAUGUGAUCAUGUCCUCAAUUGUAGAUGUCAGACAGCUGGAGCUACCCUCCCCUGAACGAUGCCAUUGAUGUGGCCGCACGGGUUCGUGAAGUGCUCGCAGAACGUGGAUGGAGACUGUCGUAAAUUCGUAAUAGCAACCGUAGUAGAGAAAGGAGAGUGCGAAUUUGUUUCAGUUCCGUUUCGAGCCUGCACAUCAUUUAACUUAGUUGCACUGUUGCACGUGCAUUCUUUAUUUUUACAAAGGCUCACCAAAGACCAAAGGGUGGCAAUUCCAAAUAUGAGAGAGAGAAGGGAUGCGGCGUUGCUGUACGGUUUGCUAACUAUCAACCAUAUGGAUGCAUCAUUUUAAGUAUGGGUUACUAUUUAAUUAGCAUGUAUUAAUUAAUUCUAACACUUCUGCCAAUCAAUGUUUGUCCUUAUGAUCAAAUAAAGACUUCUUAAAAAACCCAUGGGAAAAAUAUGAGAUUACUAUCUGAUAUGCUGCUAAAACUCAUUCAGACCUAAUGAAAAAAAAGAAGAGAAAAUGUUACAGCAUAUAGUGAUUAUUGUCUCCUUGGUAACUCAUAUGAGAAAAUUUUAAAAAGGACAAAACCCAUAAACAAGUUUAUAGGACAAUAAAUAUGUUUAUAUACUUCCUUUAAAAACCUGGGGAAAAAAGAGGUUGCCAUAUAAUUUUGGGUUGAUAUUACCUCAAAUAAAACCUUGAUGACCUUGAUGAGAACUUAGAGUAAACUCAUAAGGAAAAAAAGAGUGGAAUAUGAUGUUUGAGCAACUGGUGAAGGGAAAAUGAGCGCAAUAUGGUGUUUGGAUAGGUUAUACCUUGCAGGACAAUAAGUGCCUGGCCGGUCUCUAGGCAAGGAAUCUUCUACCUCUUUCAAUCGUUAACCUGGUGAAAGUGAAAUGAUUUUUUGAUGUUGGUUAUAAGUAUGAAACGAAACAAACAUGAGCUAUUUGUAGGCAUGCUGCAUAUAUAGUCUGCAGCUUUGAGUACAAAAAGGAGAGGGAAAAUAUAUAUAACAGGGGAAAGAACUCAUAAAAAAACCAGCUGGCCUGAAGAUAGGAGAGUGGUGGACAGAGGGAAAUAUGAUGAGGCCUAGAGUCACAAAGUAUGCAUGUGUGGUACAAUUAACAAAUAGUAUAUUUUUGUUUCGGAAUGCUAGCAGGAGGCAAACGCCAACCCUACUGGCGUUUGGCUCGUGGCUGCCAACGCCAAUUUCAUCAGGUUGAUACGGGUUUCCAAAAAAAAAGUCAAAUUUGGAAAUAGUUUGGCGGAGAAGGGUUAUUUUUGCCUCAAGUUUUCGAAAAGGUUCAAUUUCGUUGAUUUGUAGGAUGCUCACUGGGUUUCUUCAAUUCAUUGAUGAUGACCGCACCAAUGGCCUCUUUGAUUCACAAGAUUUUUGAUGUAGGUAUAAAAAAGAACAGUAAGCGGGAAAGGUUCCACGUUCAAGGCAGAAGAUUAUAUGAAAACACUAUAGAAUUGAGUGCUUGCUCUAAAAAAGAAGGGAAAUACAUGAUUUCAAUAAGCAUAACCAACUGGAACUCAAAGCACAUGCAAAGGUUAAAAAAACAUGUUAUUUCCCACUCAAUACUAUAUGGAAUGUCUACGAAAGGGCGCGAUUUAUUUCGGAACCAUGUUUUCCCUUGUAACUAAGGUCUCAGCUUUGAUAUACAAAGAACAAGUCAACUUUUUCUUAACUCUUUUCUUAGAACUACGAGGCAAUUUAAAAAAAAGUGCAAUAGAGUGAGCAUAGAGAACAAAAGUUCAUCGAUAAAACAAUAAGAUCAUCGCGGUCUUUCAAAAUCAACGCCUCUAGAUCCACUUCUCUCAUCUUGACAAAACGAUUUGAACAAGUUGGAGUAAACUUAUAGGUUUUGAAAAGUCACAUGAGUCACCCACCUUAGACGAUAAAAACGUGAAUUGUUGAAUGCAUCCUGAGCGAGGACACACUCCUCACAAGCAAGCUGUGAAACCGUACUCCCGUUGAUGAAUCCACAAGAAAAAGAGAUAAAAACAUGAAAAGAUAAGUCAAGAGAACCACCGACUUCAUGAAGUACGUCACGUCAUCUAUCUAUACGAGGACAAAGUCAGAACACUAUUUGUAUGGAUGACACCAUCUCUAAGGCUAAGAUGUCACCGUCAAGAAUACACAAACUUAGAAAAAAAAAGUUAGGAUAACUAUCUAAAAGGGAAAUCAUGACUUUUUUUUAUAGCAAGGAAAAGCAAGAUUUUUCCUUAAAAAAAUAAUGUGUAGUUUAUUUUUAAGGAAAAGGGAAAGGUGAAGCAGAAGAUGCGAUAGGCCACUACCCCCGAAUUUCCUUUUUUUAGGGUAACCCCUGAAUUUCCCUCUCUUUUUUUUGUAAAAGGUAGGAUCGAUACGGAAGGAUCACGAAUUUAUUCAUUAGUAGUGACCUUAGCACAGCAUACAAACACACCCACUAAAGAUAUCGAAAUACAAACAAGUCCCUAGACUUUGCAUAAAGGACCCUUAAUGGGGAAGAAGAAACGCAAUUGGGUCCUCAACCCCCAAUCGGAGCUCUCCUCGCCGUCGCCGGGGACUGCCACUUGGGACGACGAAGCCGUCGCAACCGCUGCGACCGCCAGUCGAGAGUUGAGCUGCCUCCAAAUCGGCCCUCUGGCCAGGAGGAAAGGAGUUGGUUGCCCUUCGACCAGAAGAUGCAGUGGUACGGCUGGAGCAGGCAGCCGAUUGCCGGCGCCGUAGCUCCACCACGGUGACCACCGCUGAUGCGCACGACCACAAGAGGGAAGCUUCAACCUGCCUCCGUCUUCUCGCUGGAGAACCACCACCAUGGUGACUCCAACAGCAAGGAGAGGACCCGAGAACUCCCUGCAAAGAAAGGACCGCGAGUUUAUUUGGGAGGUUGCCGGCGACCAUCUCCACGGCAGACGUCCCCUAGCCACCACACGGAUCCCCACCGCCAAGCGCCGACGACCGCUAUUCUCCCAUGGCCACGGACUGCCUCCUAACGGCAUAGUGCCACACCCCGGCAUCAAGCCGAACACCCACGAAGGGAAACCUAACUACAACGGAGCUCCGACACCUCCCCCAUCCCCAUCCCAAUCGGUGAGGUCCGGGUUCAGGCCGAGCUCCAUGCGAGAUCUAGGGUUUUCUUCAAGAACAGUAGAGAGGGGAGGGGAAAGAAGACAGGGCUCUACAGUCUUAUUUUGGAUGUCCCGAAUUUCCCUCCAGUUUGUCUUUUCUUCGUAACAAUUGAAGGCCCAAGGGCCAAGGCCCAGUUUGUCACGCAAUUCUCGCAGCAAACCCUAGCAGCACCCCCAAGUCCCGCAGAGAUCUGCCUGUCCCGUCCCCGACGCGGUCCUAAACCCUCCUCCCCUUCUCUCACCUAUCCACCCUUCUCGACCGCCGCCGCCGUCCUAGCCACAGGAGGCGAGCGAGAUGGUAAGAUCCGGAGGGCCCUUGGAAGCAUAAUGCUGAUCAUACCUGGUAUCCUUUUCUGCUGAUCUAGUGUAGUGUAUUCAUGUGCUUUUUUUAAUACUUCUUCAGGUGUUUGUGAAGACCCAGAAGACCAGGGCCUACUCCAAGCGCUUCCAAGUGAAGUUCAAGAGAAGGAGACGUAUGUUCAAUUCCGUGACUCGAUGACUCUGGUGCUUCCGCCGUUUUGACUGUUCCUGAUGAAUUUCCUUUCGUUUGCGCUUGUCUGCAGAGGGGAAGACUGAUUACAGGGCCAGACUGAGGCUCACUAACCAAGACAAGAACAAGUACAACACACCCAAGUACCGGUUUGUUGUGCGAUUUGUAUCCUUAAGUUGCUCAUAGUGUUGUGCACUGGUCGAUCAUAUCCAUUGCGAUUAUUUAUGACCAUAACUUUGACCAGUAGAGGCAUAUUGUAUCUCUUAACAAUAGUAAUCAGACCAACAAGGAUGUCACUGCCCAAAUUGUGUACGCUACCAUUGCUGGUGAUAUCGUGAUGGCUGCUGCCUAUUCUCAUGAGCUGCCUCGGUAUGGUCUUGAAGUUGGCCUCACCAACUAUGCUGCAGGUAGGCUGAUCAACUGAAUAGUGCAUAUUGUGAUGCAUGUAUUGUUACUUAAUACAGUUUGACUGAUUAAAUGCAUUGUGCAGCCUACUGCACUGGUCUGCUUUUGGCUCGCCGGGUGCUCAAGUUCCGUGAUUUGGACCAGGAAUAUGAGGGCAAUGUUGAGGUAUAAUUCAUUAGAAAGAAAAGAUUUAUUUCAGACUAGUAUUCUCUGGUGCUGCUUUUGAUGAACACUCGUAAUUCUCUGUCUGAACUCAGGCCAGUGGGGAGGACUUCUCAGUUGAGCCAUCUGAUGAAAGGAGGCCUUUCCGUGCUCUCUUAGAUGUUGGCCUUAUUAGAACUACUACUGGAAACCGUGUGUUUGGUGCCCUUAAGGUAUGAUGCUUGUAUGGUAUGAACGUGUUCUUGUAAGAAUACUCUUAAUGGUUGGUUAUACUUGUACUCUUGUAUGUGCAAGCAUGCCGAUUUUUGAAAUGAAAGUCUUUGGACCGAUUCCCACUUGUCUAGAGCUAUCUUGGAUUUAGACUUGUUAAUUUGCACUGUCAAAGUUAUUUUAGGUGUUCAUCCCAUUUAUUAGGUCAAGUUUCUAUUUCAGUAAACAGCAUGCCUAAAUGCCAUUUAAGAUAGCGACGUAUAUGUUUUCAACCUGGAUUUGCACAAAGGAAUACCUUACUAUUUUGUUACACUUUAGAUUUGCAUCUAACGAUGUUUUCUGCUUAAUAUUUGGUGUAUUCUCUUUGCUGCUGCAGGGUGCAUUGGACGGUGGUCUUGACAUUCCACACAGUGACAAGAGAUUUGCUGGCUUCAAGAAGGAUGAAAAGCAGCUGGAUGCGGAGGUUCACCGCAAGUACAUCUAUGGAGGGCAUGUUGCUGACUACAUGAAGGUCAGUUGCGAAUAUUGCUAUCAUGAUGUUAUAAUGGAUAAUGCCAUUUCUUCAUUCCAUAGCAUUAUUGUUAUUGGAAGUACUUGAUUUCUUUCAGAAAGAUAAGUAGUCCAGUUCUUAUAUGUAUUAAGAAGAAAACCUAGCAAUGUACUUUGUUGUCAUUUUUGAAUGACCUACUGAUUCUCAGUUUGAAUUUUGACCCUUGUUCCAGACACUAGCAGAGGAGGAACCUGAGAAGUACCAAUCUCACUUCAGUGAGUACAUCAAGAAGGGGAUUGAGGCUGGUGGCAUGGAAGCGCUGUACAAGAAGGUUCAUGCUGCCAUUCGUGCUGAUCCUACCCUGGCCAAAUCAACCAAGGAACCUCCAAAGACACACAAGAGGUAUAUAUGGAUACCUGUUUAUUGAAGUUGCUCAAGUUAUUCACCACCAUCACAUGAUUGUAAGUUAACUAAACAUUUCACUGCAGGUACAAUCUGAAGAAGUUGACCUACGAGCAGAGGAAGGCCAGCCUCGUAGAACGGCUCAACGCCCUCAACUCCUCUGCUGGUGCUGAUGUUGAUGAGGACGACGACGAAUGAGGAGUUUAGCCGACUGUGCUAGUGCUAUAUUUUUGUUUUCAAACAAAACUUGCUCUAUGCUGUUCACCGGUAGUAUUGCAAGAGUCGUUGCGCAAGUUCGGCACUAUGCACAAUUUGUACCCGCCUCUCAGUUUUGACUAUCAGGCAGGAGUUCUGGAUUUAUCUUAUACGAGCUGUUGGCAUCUAGCGUCUUGAUAUUGCUUUGAGUUUGUUGAUAUGGUGUUUUGUCUGCCGUGGAUGUUAUGAUCUGCCGAAUUGCUUUUCUUGCUUUCAUUUGCAUUGAAGUCCUUCGCUAAUUGAAUAGGAUGCCCCGCUUCUGUCAUGGUGGUAUAUUGGAGAGGAUAGUUCAGCUGGUUUGGAUCUCAGUUAAGCUUCUAGUGAUUUCCAAUGCCCGGACAGAGCUCUGCUACCUCGAAACUGCCUUUCUGAUUUCUCCCUUGUUCUUCUGGGUUAUGAGCGCCGGUUCUUUCUGAAUUCUGACUUUCUGAGUAGAAUACGAUGUGCGAAUGGGAUUGGCACAGACUGAUUUAUUUCUAGCUAGAAGAACUGCUUCCGCGCACGCCGAACUCGCCUCUCCUCUCCCAAGUUCCCCCAAGUCCCAACUCAACGAUUAUCGUGGCCGAGAAUAAAAGCGACGAACUGCCGCCUCUGCUCCCUGACUCCCCCAGCCAACUCUCCCGCUCACUCCCACUUACCAUGGCGGCGCUGCGUGAGGCCUCCCGCCGCCUGUUCUUCUCCGCGAGGAAUCCUGCCGGAGCCGCCAUGCGGCCCCUGCUCCUCGCGCAAUCUCGCGGCAUCACACACAAGCUCUUCAUCGGAGGUUAGUCUCCUCACGCGCGCAUCCCACCGUACGCCAGUUCAGUCGCCCUGGCUCUAGUCGCGCGUGUACGGUGUACGGCAUUAGAGGUAGUGCGUCAAUGCGACGCGCCGCCUUGGGGCCGUGCAUGCCUAGCGUUCGACGAAAUGCCCAUAUAGGCAGGGUGGUUUUAGUGCCAUGACUGGCUUACUUUAUACGGUAACUGCAACAGUGCAGUGGAGCUGCCUGGUUUUACUUGUAACGUCUUUUAACAGAUGGUUCGAAUUCCUUGCCUUCUGCGGUUAAUCCUGCUUUGCUAGCUGAAGUCAAAACUAAUUUCAAGAACACUGAUGUUCGUGGGAAUUAGUUUAGGAGACAUGGUGUCGCAAUAUAUAUACCUAUAUGGACAUCUGGGUAGGUGCAUAUUCUAAUAUCCUCCUUUCUUUUUCCAUAAAGUGUGCAUUCAAUUGGUCUGCAAUACGUUCUGCUGAUAUAUAACUAGGUAGCACAGAUUAUGAAAUUGGUUUUGCUAUUUCUAAGGCGACUGAGAAAUAACUAUUUCUAAGUCAGCGCUCACAACCAUAUGAUCCAAUUACUGAGAUUCGUGCAAGAUUCAUAUAAGUAUAAAAUGAUGAAAAAAUUCUUAAUUGGAUGGCUAUGAUCGUUGACUGAGAAAUAGACACUCCCUUAUGAAAUACUUCAAAAAUAAUCAAUUGUAAAUACCAUAUGAGUAACAAGGUUCCUAAGGUAAAUUCAGUUCAAAGAACUGAAGUAAAUUCACGCUAAAUGCAUUGUUAUACAUCAUACUAUGGUCAACUUAACUGAUAUAACUUCAAUGAAUAGCACGGUUACUAGGUAUACUAGCAUGUCACGCAACUUUGGUCAUGCUGCUGAUUUACAAGCAAUAUGCUGGUUAUCACUAUCAUGCUAGUUUCAGUUGAUUUUCUUGUUAUUCGUGCAAGUACGUGGGAUUGAAGUCAUUGAACUAAUAAUUUUAUUUGGUCUGUCCAAGCCGAAAUUCUUAUUCGGUAGAAGAAAUAAACAAAAUUACAGGACUGAGAAUUGUUCGGACCAGUUGGAAACAGUUGUGAUAUGUCUGUUCAAGAACUGCCCCUAUGAUUUUGUCUUAAUUUCCGAUACUUUUGCAGGCCUGUCACAAUUUGCAACCGAAGACACCCUAGCAGAAGCUUUCGCGCGUUACGGCCAAGUAUUAGAAGGUCUAUGCUCAUCACUUGCCAGAACAAACUCCCGAUAAUGUUUAAUAAUUAUUUUUCCUGUUGUUACGACCUAAGUUACAACCUGUUCUUGUUUGAGCUUAGCAACCAUUGUCACGGAUAAGAUGACCAAUCGAUCAAAAGGAUUCGGCUUUGUGAAAUUUGCCUCUGAGGAAGAAGCUAAUAAAGCACGGGACGAGAUGAACGGCAAGGCAAGUUGUUGAUCAAGUACUGCUUAGUUUGUUUGCGAUAAAGUAUUGCAUUGUUAAACUUCGUAAUGUUGUAUAUUUUGUCGCUCCAUUUGGCAUCUAGUAAAAUCCUUUAUUCAAGUAGAAGAGCUGAGCACUGCAAGCUUGUAACAGGUUCUGAACGGGCGAGUUAUAUAUGUCGACAUUGCAAAGGCCAAACAGGAUCGUGCUACAGACGUACUUCCAAUAGCGAGCGGCCCUCCUAAGCCAAUAGGCAACAGCAGUUAGAUGUGUUCAUACUAGAACAUAAGAAGUUAUGUUCUAGUAGAGUAAAGCUCUUAGAGAAAAGCUUAUGUAUAAUAAUAUUCUGAAUUUUAUGUUACUAGAACAUAAGAAGUCCAUUUAACAGCCUAGAUGUAUCAUAGAACAUCACAUCCAAGAACACAGCUUAUGCUGUACGUGUUCUUGUACUGUGUCAUCAAAAGGGUGCUGCUGUAAUCUUGUUCCUCGGAAUGAUAUUGUUGUUACGGAUUGAUUGCACAUACCAGCUGCAUUUGUCCUUGAAGCUGUGCUGGAACAGUAUCUUCCCUGUGGCUGCUGUGUAGGGAACCGAUGGCCUCGCUGUUCAUAUGAACAGUUCUAAACUUCAUUCAAUCGCUGGAAGUGGGGGAACAGUAGCUUUUGAUUGUACGGAUCUGUGAAGGACAAUGCACUCAACGGCAGAUAACCGUGUCAUUUUCACCUUUUAUCAGGUGGAAAACGUUGUCAUUUGAUUGACAGAUUCGAUGUACACUCCCUAACUACCAAGGAGAAAAGGUACACAAUACACGAUUUACAAGAUCCUACUACUUGAUGUUGUCUUAAUUGGAACGCCGAAGUUUCGUGCGAAUUUCGCUCUAGUUUUACGGAAGCAUCUCCUUUUCUGCAAAAUCAUGGAAAAAACACAAUCUUGCUCUCCAAAGGGCUAAUGAUAUCUCUCAUCUUGUGGACGGCCGAUCACCGGAGCAGGACGGUGGCAAUGAAGGCGAGCACGGCGACGGCGCUGGCGGCGGAGCAGCAGAGGUCAACGAGCGCCUCGCGCCGGGCCUUGCUCUCCUUCCUCCCCUUCUUGCUCUUCACGAACGCUUCGUACCUCGCCUUCGCCUCGCCCUGCUCUGCUUUCCCACCCUUCCUCUGGCCCUCCAUCGCCGCGGCCAGAAGACGGAGGCCGCGCUCGCCGCUCACCGCGGCGCCGUCGGCGUCCUCCGCGGCGAGGCUGACCUCGCUGACGUGGCCGGUCUCCUCGGAGCACGCCACGGUGGCCUCGAAGCUGCACCCGCCCAGCACCACCGCGAACCGGACCAGCGUGUCGCCGGUGUACCAGUGCCGGCCCACGGCCACGGCCCGCCUGCUCGACACGUUCACGGCCCGCCCGCGGGCCCGGUCCACGACCAGCCAGCUCAGCUCCAGCUCCGACGGAGACAACAAGGAAGCUGUCGCGGCUGUAACCGGCGCAGGCUUGGUGCAGUCGGCCACGGCAUCGACGCGGAACGGCGAGCUGAGGAACCACGGCGAGGACGCCGCGGGCGUCUCCACCACGGCGGAAAGCAGGGCCGCGCCCCUGUAGUGCACGUCCACCGCGGAGACGAGCUCCCCGGGGAGACCGGCUCCGGGGCCGAGCUCGGUGGCGUCUGGGCACGGGAAAGGGAGCGCGUCGGCGAAGAGGCGCCGCGGCGGGACUGACGAGAGGGCCCCCUGCUGGGACGCGACGGACGGCCACUCGGCGAGGCAGAGCGCGCGCCAGGUGUCCGGGUCGGCGGCGAGCGCGCGGAGCCCCGCCGUGGCGCAGCUCGCCGCGGCCAGGGACCGGCCGUCCAGGCGCCGCAGCGCGCGCGCCAGCACGUCCACGGGCAGGUCCUCUAUCGUGGUCACCGCCAUUUGAGAUCGGGCGCUUCAGUUCAGUUGUUCCUUGGGAUUCUUUGGGAAACCGAUGAUGGGAAAGUAUCUUGGUUGGCUUCGCUGCGCGGUGUGCGGUUAUAUAAACCGGCGCGACUUCAGCGCGGUGGACUCUCUCUGGUGUCUGCGACGCGCGUCCUUGUCUCCGCGGGAACGACGGGCCGGAUGACGGGGUCCCAGCGUCACUGGCUCGUGCCUACGGCGUCCCAUUGCGCCGUGGCAAGGCACGGACCCGGCGUGGCGCCGGACGCUGGCGGCGUGUCACGCGUCUGUCUGAGGCGUUUACACGCGUGGCCUCGCGAGCGGGUCUGUGCCUCUGUGGGAUCGCUUCGUCAGUUCCGUACCGUACCGCGGCGACGACCGAGGGCGCAGUGCGCCAUUCCUCGCAUCACGUGCCUGCCGGGCGCGGGAGGGCAUCGGCACACGUUUAAUCAGGGUGCGACCGACAGGCGCGAGGGGCUGAACUCGUCGAGACGGUCGCGACGGCAAGCGACGACGUGCUUUUCGCGUGGCGUGCCUUUCGUGAACCUUACGGCCAGGAGCAUGCAUGUAGGAAUUUCUUCUUGAACUAGCCCGUGUACGGGCAUGGGAGGAUUUAAUUCCGCAGACUGUGUGUGCCGAUCGAGACUUAACUGCGUCAAAGCACACCAUUCCGUGUACGUACCAUGUAUCUUCCUCGUGCGAUCGAUCAGUAUCUGUACCGCUGACGAAGGGCAGUUCGGCCGGCCGGGGAGAUUAAUGAUGUCUUAUCCUCUAAUAUAGUGGUAUGAGAUUGUAGAGGCUAGGAAACAUGAAACCAUGUGUAGCGUGCAGAUUCAGGCCAGCUCCGAACAGUUAUGUAUGCUUUCUUUUCUUUUUUGCGGGUAGUUAUGUAUGCUUUCAUGUCUAGGACACAUUUUAAGCUUGCUUCUAGAAAUCUAGAGUGGGCCGGGGUCCAGUUCAGGAAACGGCCAUGGCUAAGCGUCGUCUUUGGACUCCAUUUCUGAAGCUUCAAAACCAAGGGUGUGGGGUGUGGCCACAGUCAUUGUUAUGAAUCAGUGACUGGUCGAACAAAUAAGACCGCAGAUCAAAAUAAAAAAAAGAGUAUAUUUCUUAAAACCAAAUGUAGAUCGCUGUCGCAAUAAGAUGUCUCUUCUGAAUUGUUAGGAGUUACAUUUAUGUGUGUAUGAGUCUAACGUGUCACAAUCCUAUUUACUUUAUUGUUUUUGAAGCUUCGCAGACCUUCACGUCAUGGGUUCUCCUAAGCUUGUCAAAACGGAAAAUGUGGAUAUAGAAAAUGUACUAAUAUCUACAAUACCAAGUAAUUAAUUAUACUAUGAAGAUAUAUGUAAUUUAGAUUUGUUGAUGUUGAUAGAUUUUUUUAUAGGCUUGAUAAAUUUAUUUAUUUUACUUAUGAUGAAGUUAAAACAUCUUACUUUUAGAAACAGAGUGGGUGCUACUUUGAUAAAUCUGUUGCCACUUUUUACUUUACUAAACGAAGAAUCUGUAUUGGUUAAUCUGAGCAUCUCCAUAUUUUCAUUAUCCCAUUGCUUAAAUUUCCAGAUGGGGGUGGCAUCCUGGAUAUCUGUAUGGAUGCACGUAUCCAUCAAUUUUUUUAUUACUAAUAAAUUAUUUACAAAAGUUUAGAGUUUCAAGCAGGAAGAGAUUAAUAAUACACCAGGCUGAUAUAAGAGCCUAGCGCGAAUGGAAAAAUCUAUUACCAAACCGCCAUCUAAUCUAACUUCACAGGUUGUUUUAGUUCAAAGCAGAAACCUCUGCCGAAGAAGAAACGAAUGCAAUUCAUGCAGGACAGUGUCAUGGGGUCCAGGACUGAGCUCCAGAUUUGAGGAGAAUCUACAGACAAAGGUGCACAUAGACAAGGACGAACUGCUCUUAGGACAUGUGCUCGAGUUAUUUUGAAAAAUUCAAAAGCUGCGUGCAAGAAGGACAAAGAUUCCAAAUCAAGUCUUGCAUGGAUAUAUUAAAAUGAGCUAUGCAUCUGUAAUUUUUCAAGAGAAAAUGAAGUUACUUGUUGCUUGCAACAAAAUAACAAGAAUGGGGAGCUAAAGAAAUGGAAAGCAUAUUGAGUUAUUAAAUAGAGUGAGUUCCAAUUUUUAUCUCGCUAAGAAAGUUUAUGACACAUUUUACCAUAUUUAGCAAAACAUUCAUUUGUUUUACCCCAUUCAAGAAACUUUUGACAUAGUUUUUCCUUUUUAUUUUUUAUAUUACAUCUUAAUAGAGUGGCCACACAUGUCAGUCCAAUGUGGUGUCUCCACAUCGGAUGCGAUCUCUUAAAUACGUUCCCAAUUUUGUCAAGGGUCACCAAAAUUUAGGAAACUCUGCAAAUCAUUUUGGUAUUAUCUCGAGCAAAAUUCAAUAAAUUUAGACAAAUUUUGACCAAACUUAAAUUGUUGAUUGAAUUUAGUUAAACAUUUUGAGGUAGAAGUAAUUUUGGUAGCUAUCGAAAUUUUGAGCUUUGCUUCUGAUUCGGCAGGGGGCGCCCUCACCCGAGUUGUCUAAUCCAGACUAGCUCAUGGCCGACCACAUUGGGUGGCGGCACAUAGGUCAACUGACAUGUGGGACCACUUUGUUAGGAUUAAUUUUUUUUUCCAAAAAGUUAUGUUUGGUCAAAAUUCAUUUAAACGCAAUGAAUUUUUGUCGAGAUAAUGCAUUUUUUUUUGUACUUCUGAAAUUUUAAACCCUGAUCGGAAGCUUAUUCAAAGACAUGCAUCUGACAUAGAGACGCCACCUAGGCUGCUGUGUAGGGAACCGAUGGCCUCGCUGUUCAUAUGAACAGUUCUAAACUUCAUUCAAUCGCUGGAAGUGGGGGAACAGUAGCUUUUGAUUGUACGGAUCUGUGGCUGAUAUGUUUUAUAAGACCUUAAAUCGUUGUUUGAAAAUUAGUUUUUCAUAAGCGAGCAUGUGUGUCCUGAUGACCACUUCGUGGUUUUCGGCACUUAAAUCCAACUUUCUCUUCUCUUCUGACUCGAUCUUCACCGUCUUUUUGUGCCUGCCUCCCUCAAGAACUGCAGCUGGUACCCAGAUGGGAAGUACAUCCUCUAGCGUCUUAAUUAGUAAAAAAAAUGGAGCGACUUUCAUAGACUCUUAUUCCGCGCAUUUUCUUUGCGCAGCUCUGAAUCUUGGACGGUAUGGUUGUUAAGGAUCUGUUCAAAGAUAGAUCUCCCACUCUCUCUCUCUCUCUCACGCACAUGACACAUCGACUGCCAUCUGCUACCUCAUACCUGUCUUACAGUUACUGUAUGCCGUGGAGUUGUUGGUUUCGUUUGAUGACGGACGGGCACGUGGGCAAUGCCUCUGUUGCUGUGUAAGGCAAGUCCGCAGUGUCCUGUGCAGCGGAAGCCCAAGUUCGGGUGCUUCCAUGGUGCGCUGCACACUGUAAAGUCCCUGUCUCUGCCAUAGUGCCAUGCCACAGAAAGUAAGGAUAAUGUCAAUGGAAAAUAGUGCUGGUGUAAAUGUUGUUGAAAAACUGUGGAUGUGAAUAACAUAUGACGUGAGUGGCAGGGUUGAAAGGGAUGUUGUAGCGUACAUCAGGUUUUCUAUUUUGUUUUUCUCGCCAAUUUUUGGUAUUUGUUUUAGGAAACUUGGUCCCGCGUUCUCCCGGAAAUGUCAAGAGAGCUCAGAAACAUAUACAGACAUGCUUCAGGCCUUCAGCUCAAAGUUCCAAAUAGAGCGCCUAAGGGCGUGUACAAUAGGGACAUGGGGUGACGUCAGCCUUUUCUUAACAAUACCAUAUGGGAUAGAAUCCGACGUGAAAGAGAGAAAUUAAGAAAGGCGCAAGUCUUCUCUUAAUUAAGAGAUGACCUCUUCACAAGAAGUGUAAAGCAAAAAAAAAGACAAAUUUCCCAUCGAACUAGAUUUCACCUUUCUUAACAUUUAUUUAUUUAAUUUUAUUCAUCUAACCAUUAAUUGUAAGAUAAGACAAUAAGAGAUAACCUAUUGUACAAUAUGUUUUCAUGUCUUCUCUAAAUGACGUGAAACACCUAAGGAAAGAAUGUCUUAUGAAACAUCCUACAUGCCUUAAUACAACGGAGAGUACCAGGAUUAACUAUUUAACGAUACCCCAAAUGUACGUGCUAUUCCUAAAUCCGAGAUCAUCCACGAACUCGAACGGAGGCGUACUGCUAGUACGUGAAAUUGAACUCUGACGGUCAUAGUCACGAAAAUAUAUCAAUCAACCACACGGAGGGUUCCCAAAAGUUGCACAAAUUCAGCAUUGCGGUGCUCGAACGGAGGAGUGUAAGACAAAUCAAGUUCACGAUCAACAUACCAACAUGCCUUAUCCACACAUAUCCAGGUGGAGCAUCCCCAUAGGCCGCUCCUCCCGCAACGAAUCUAUUUCAUCCACUGCAAGUGAUCCACACCACGCGCGCCCCCACAACAAUCUGCCGGCUUCCAUCUCCUCCUCUCGUGUAAUCCACAACUCCACAUCAGCACGUGUCUCCGUCGACCCCCACGCACAACACCGGCCACGAAAUAAGAGAGCUAGCUUAGCCGCUGCCGGUGCUCCACACCGGAGACGUACGUACCACCAUAUUGCAGCCGCGAGCAGAACAACAGCUAGCUCACAUGGCCGCCGCCGCCUCCACCGUCUCCGGCCUCGCCGGCGCCACCCUGGCCCGCCGGCCAGCCUUCUCUACCAGUACGUGGAAAUGUUAAUUUUGGGUGAUCUCUACGUGUAGAUCGUUUGUGUGUCUUGAAAAAUGUUGGGUGAUCUCUACGUGUAGACUUCACGACGGGUGGCCGGGUGUCAGCGAGGAACCCCUUGAUGACGAGGAACCUGGAGAGGAACGGCAGGAUCACCUGCAUGACGUGAGUCAGCCAGCCAAGAAGCGACUCUGUUUUGUUUCGUAAUCGGCGGUCGUAUGCAUUGAAUUGCUGGGUCGCUGACAGAUGGUUUUGCUCUCUUCAGGUUCCCGCGGGACUGGCUGCGGAGGGACCUGAACGUGAUCGGGUUCGGGCUCAUCGGGUGGCUGGCGCCGUCGAGCAUCCCGCUCAUCAACGGCAACAGCCUCACGGGGCUCUUCUUCUCCAGCAUCGGCGAGGAGCUCGCCCACUUCCCCUCGCCCCCGGCGCUCACCUCCCAGUUCUGGUACAGAAAUUUAACCCGAGGAUCAUCGAUCACACAUUGGUUUUGAUUUAAUCCUGGUUGAAUGUGUAUUGCAGGCUGUGGUUGGUGACGUGGCACUUGGGUCUGUUCAUCGCGCUCACCUUUGGCCAGAUCGGGUUCAAGGGCAGGACCGAGGACUACUUCCAGAAGUAGUGGCUUAAUUAAGCAGCUAAAUUAGCUUCUGAUUAAUGCAGGCCUCGU